RNAcentral lists this long non-coding RNA (56052 nucleotides) under Solanum tuberosum (potato). Its description in RNAcentral is "long non-coding RNA (STUB_LNC010295)". Lineage: Eukaryota; Viridiplantae; Streptophyta; Magnoliopsida; Solanales; Solanaceae. The record is from RNAcentral.
CAAAUUGAUUUCUUUUCAUUUAUUUUUUGAAAAUUUACUUUAAUUAUAUUUACCAUGAAAUCUGUAGUUUUUGGUAUAAAAGCAGCAAUCUUCUCAUAAUUCCAAAAUCCAUACAGAGCUGAAAAUUUUUCAAAAAAUUUGUGUGAAAUUCUAGAAUCAUCUUCUCUGUGAUUACUAGAAGAAGAAAAAUGGCGGAUCAGCUUACUGAUGACCAGAUCUCUGAGUUCAAAGAGGCUUUCAGCUUGUUCGACAAGGACGGAGAUGGUUUGGCGCCUUUUUUUUCUCUGUAAAUGUGUAUAUGUUUUGUGUUUUUGAUGCUUAUAGGUGUAUGUGGAAUCUGUUUUGUUGCAGAUCUGACGUUUGAUUUGAAAUUUGAAUGAACUAGUUGAUUUUUUUGGUGACAAGUUGAUAUAUGAGAAUAUUCAGUUAGUAAAUAGAGGAAAACAUAGAUUUUCUAGCUUGUUGAAACGUUAAAAAUGAAUUAGAGAAUAUGGAAGCUAUGUAGUUUGAUGUUACGUUGGUGAAUUACUGUUUUUUCGGUAUCAUGAGAUCUCAUGUUGAAAAACAAGUGAUUUUUAUUCGUUUUUGGUGAAUAGAGUUACUUGAUAUCCGCAUACAAGAUUUGGCCGGUUAGUUGAGUUGAGAACCAUGAAGUCUUGUAUUAAGAAGGUGCUUGGUUUAUAGAGCUACCUGAAGUGGUUGAGAGAACCGUGAGGCCUCAGGUUCAAAUCACAACAGAGACAAAAAUACAAUUGAUUUCCUUCCGUCUGUCUUAACCUUGGUGGAUAGAAUUACUUGGUACUUGUUGUUGGUGGUGGUGGGAGUUGAGAGGUAUCUUAUGGAAUUAGUCUAGGUGUGUGUAAGUUGGCUUGGAUAUGACGGUUAUAAAAAAAAAGGAGUUACUCCGUACUCGUGUUGGUGGGAGGUAGUGGAAUUAGUGGGACUUGUGUGUGUCGGAGGCCGUGGAAUUAGUAGAGGUGCGUGCAAGCUGAACCAAACCACGAUAAUGAAAAAACUUAAAAGAAGAAAUUAAGAGCUAUUUCAGAGAAGCUGUGUUGUAAAUUGGAUUAUACAUGUAUUGAGAAGUGAUAAUUUAAUUUGAUGAAAAAUUUGGCCUUUAUUACUGGCUUCAGUUUGUGUUAAAUGCUAACCAAAAUCCUCCCUUUUUUCUAAAUCUGUAGUAGCUUUUGUCUGAACUCAUUGAUUGGGACGAACAAUUAGAUGAAUGAUUUUUGUCAUUAGUUAUUAGGGAAGUUUUAAAAGAUAUAUAUUAAAUGUUGAUAACAGUGUUAGAAAUGUUGAAAAUUUGGUGCAUUUUUUUUUCGUCUUCCUUAUUUUCUGGGACAUGAGUUGAAAAGUAGUGCAUUUUCUGUUUUCUUCUGUGGACAGUUGCUUACUGAUGCUAGGGUCACAAAGUGUGGUUUGUUAGUUUUCGUGCAGUAAGCUAAUCGUGAAGCUUUGUAUAUAGGUUGCAUUCCGACUAAGGAGCUUGGGACUGUGAUGUGGUCGUUGGGACAGAACCCUACUGAAGCUGAGCUCCAGGACAUGAUAAACGAGGUGGAUGCAGAUGGUAAUGGAACUAUCGACUUCCUAGAGUUUCUAAACCUCAUGACCAGGAAGAUGAAGGAUACUUACUCUGAGGAGGAGUUCAAAGUGGCAUUCAGAAUUUUCGACAAGGAUCAAAAUGGCUUCAUCCCCGCUGCUGAGCUUCGUCAUGUGAUGACUAACCUUGGAGAGAAGCUCACUGAUGAACAAGUCUAUGAGAUGAUUAGGGAAGCAGAUGUUGAUGGUGAUGGACAAAUCAACUACGAGGAGUUUGUUAAGGUCGUGAUGGCCAUGUAAUUCCCACCAUCCACUUGUUAUAUUUAAAGUUUAGACUUAUCUUGUUAAAAAUGUGAAAAAAAGCCAAAAAUAAUUCAUUGGACAUGAUAAUGUUUUUUUUUUCUUUUCGAGAAGUUACACAUUUAGCCGAUUAGUCAAAGUUAUAUUCAUAUUCGCUAACUAGGGAAAAGUGGCAAAUAUACUCCCAAACUAUCGUAAAUGGUAUACAGAUACCCUCCGUUAGAGCUGUCAAUAUGGGCUAGCCCACCCCAUCCGGGCUAACCCAUACAGGCUUUGACAUUUUACGGGUCAGGCCAGGCUAGCCCAUUUUUGGUGUGGGCCAGAAAACAGUCGGCCCAACCCACAAUUACGUGGGCUACAGGCUUGCCGGGCCAGCCUACUUUUUUAAAAGUUAUAUAUUUUUUUAUAAUUAUUAAAUUAAAUUAAAUUAUAAAUUAUAAUUUAAAAAUAUUAUCAUAAAUAUCGACAAAACAAUAUUACAUGGUGUUAAUGUUACUACUUGUUAAUCAAAUCCACAAAUAAAAUUAUCUUUAUAAUAUUUAUUAAGUUUUUUUNNNNNNNNNNNNNNNNNNNNNNNNNNNNNNNNNNNNNNNNNNNNNNNNNNNNNNNNNNNNNNNNNNNNNNNNNNNNNNNNNNNNNNNNNNNNNNNNNNNNNNNNNNNNNNNNNNNNNNNNNNNNNNNNNNNNNNNNNNNNNNNNNNNNNNNNNNNNNNNNNNNNNNNNNNNNNNNNNNNNNNNNNNNNNNNNNNNNNNNNNNNNNNNNNNNNNNNNNNNNNNNNNNNNNNNNNNNNNNNNNNNNNNNNNNNGUUUGGACAUUUUCAUGGUGGAUGCAACUUCUAUACUUAGUGAUUUCCUAAAAAACUUUAAAUAGAUUUUGAGUUUGGAUCUCUCUAAUUUUAAAUUUUAAUAUUAUAAUAUAUUUUUUAAUUAAUUGUUAUUGGCCCACGGGCCGGCCCUACCUAUAUUUCUCAAGCCUCACAAAUCAGCAGACUUAUUCAGGCCGGGUUAAAAAGCCCUUUUUCUAAAUGGGCUCCAAAUUUUUUAGCCCAGCCCUAUUAAAUCCCGGGUUAGGCCAGUCCGGCCCAACAUGCCUAGACCAUAUUGACGGCUCUACCCUCUGUCAUACUUUUUGGACAUUGGUGCCCCUGUCGUCCAAAAAUUAGAGCACCCUUUCCACUAACAGACAUAUACGUGUCAUAAUUUUAUCCAUCGAUCCGGUAUUUAUUAAAUAUCAGAUGAACGGAUAAGAUUGUGUCACGUGUCCCUAUUUAGUCUUCCGUUAGAGUGAAGGGCAUAUAUGCUCUAGUUUUUAGACGACAGGAGUACCAAUGUCCCAAAAGUACGAUGAAGGGUGUCUACAUACCAUUUACGAUAGUUCAGGUAUAUAUUUAUCCUUUUUACCCGCUAACUUAUAUAUAUAUAUAUAUAUAUAUAUAUAUAUUAAUUAUGUGUAUUUUAUACAACUCUAGCUAGUUUUUGGGGAGGGUGGCUAUUUAUAGGGAUAGAAAUACCUAAUAGUUUUUGUUAUAUCAAACGUUACCCUUGCUUAUUAGUAAUCGAGGGAUUAUGAGGUAACCAUUUUUUCUUAAAUAAUUUAGAAUGUUAAAUCUAAACCACAUAAAUAUUCAACAAAAAAUAAAAUUGAAAAUUAAGAUGGUAACUGGUUAUUAUGAAUUAAUGUUAUUUGAUUGUGUAAAAAAAUUUACACAGUCGGUAGAUAUUAGUUAAACUCACUGAAAAUUAAGAUGGUAAAUGACUAUUACCUAUUAAUGUUACUCGAGCAUAUUAAAAAAAACUUAUAUCAUUAAUGAAUAUUAGUUAAACUAAUUAUAAAUUAUUGAAAUAACGUAUAUCUUGUAAUAUUUAAUUUUGGAUUUUAUGGACACUUGGAUGAAUCAGAUUUUUUUAAAGUUAAUUCCUAAUGAAAUGACAUUUACUAAGUUUACGUAAUUGUUUUGGCAAUGUAUGUCACAUCUGUUAAAUAAUUCUACACACGUCGAGAUUGAAAGUGAAACAACAAUUAAUCUACUAUAUUAAGGCUGAAAAAAUGAUUUAUAAGAGUUAAGAGCAAAGAUCUUUUUCACUACUUUUUGUGGAUUUCUCGAUACUCGAGAAUUCUUAAUCCUGUUUUCGAUAGAUUCACAAACUCAAGUAAAUUAUAUAAAAAGAAAAAGUAUGCAGUAAAAGAUUUGUCAUGCUCAAAAUAAUGAAGAAGAGCAUAAUAGCAAUAACAAAAUAAUAUACGAUAACUAAAGCAAAUUAAAUAACAAGUAAUACAAAAAUUAAAGAAUGAUACAAAAAUAAUAAUAAUGAUGAUGAAAAGAGAACUAGCGCUCGACCUACUAAUAACUACUCCACUUUUAUCAUAAAUUUUCGACCUCUAAAUCAUCUUAUCUACUUAUGUCCUCAGUAAGUCAUAUUAUAUCCAACCAUCUCUUCCUAAUAUUUUUCCACCUACUUCUACCUAUAUUUAUAAUCAUUAUAGUCAAUCUCCUCAUUGGACAACGAUCUAUACAUCUUCAGUUCACGUGUUUGAACCAUCUCAAGUAAAAAAAAAUAUAUCACAUUUUGUAAAUAACGUAUAAAAAUAUUCCAACGAGUCGCAUUAACAAAUUACUUAUCUUCAUAUUUUUUUAUAUAAAUAUAUUUUUUAUAUAAACAUUUGUGAUUCUUUAUUUUUACAAACUUUUAAAUAUACAUAAUUUUAAAAACUAUUAUCGUUCUAAUUAAAAAUAAUAAUCUAAAAGUUCAUCCAUAGUUUAGGUUAAGAGAAACAAAUUCUAAUUAUUCAUUGCUUGACGUGACAAUCUAGAAAUUAUACUAAUCCUUUAUUCUUUUCUUUUGGGAGUAUAUAUGCUCCUAACUUUUCUAUACAAUUAUUGUUUGCUAAUCCAAUUUAAUUAUUUUUCUUGGUCAAAUUAAAAAACAAAAACAAAAAGGGAUUCCACUACUAUAAAGGAAAGUUUAGGCAGGGAGAAUAUUUUUUAUUUUUUUUUCAAAUUCUACUUUCAUUUCAUUUUUACCUAGUCUUUACACUAAUUUUUUUUAAAAUUUUACUUAUCUAUUUUAACAAAUUAAAAAAAAAGUUACUUUUUCUUGUACUAGUUUCAAUCAAAUUUAGAAUUUCAAAAAAAUGAAUAAGAAUAUAUUUCUAAUUAACUUUUUUAAAAGGGUGUGUCAGGUCAUUUCAGACCAAAUGAUAUGAAACAAAGAAAGUAAAUAAAUAUCAAUAUGAAUUGCGGUGUAGAGUGUUUCAUCCUUAAUCAUAAAUUUCGAGUUUAAGUUUUGAAUACGGAGAAAUUUUUAUUAAAAACGACACACUUAAAUGGGUCUUGCAAUACACGAUUCAAAUUAGUCAGAACUCUAAUAUGUAGUUUGGAGAAAUCCUACGUGGCAGCCACAGUUUGCUUUAAGUCAAUGUAAGCAUUCCGCGUAUGGAACGCGUAACCGCGUACUCACCUAAUGGAAGAGAGAGAAAAAUGGGCCCUUUUUAUUCUUUUGUUUUUUUAUUUUAUUUUAUUUUUCUAAAAAAGAUAAAAAUUGACAAGUCAUUUUCUAUGGAAAAAAUAUGAAAAGAUCUAAAACACACGUGGAAUGCAAUGAGUGGUUUCAUAGAUGAUAUAUGGACCUAUUUUACCACCUUUCAUAUUACUCAAUAAGUUUUUUUUAGUAGUAUUAUUUAGUUAUCGCAUAGUUUUUUAUUCUUUAAUGAGUAUUUUUACUUGGUUGUAUUUAUUUUGUACCUUGCUACUUUAUCUUCCAAUCAUGUGUCGAUUACUCUCUUUUUGAAUGAAGGGUCUUUUGAAAAUAAUUUAUUUAUCUUACAAAGGUCUUUAAUCUAUACAUGUUUUGCUCUUUCCAAAUUCUACUUAUAAGACUAUAUUCAGUAUAUUACCAUUGUUGUCGUUGAUAUUAAUGUCUUUUUUGUUGUUUCCUUCUCGGUAUAUGCUAUGAUGCCUAACUAAUCUUGAUUAAAUCCAAUAAAACAUUCUUUGCUAAUGACGAUUCGAUUUUUAACAUUCGAAUUAUAAAAUUUUAAUUAAAACUGAAGGAGUACUUAGAAUUGCAGUGCAAUAUUUGAUGAUUCAUUUAAUGAUGAGAUAUCUAUUAUGAAGAGCUUAAAUCAAUUUGUAAGUAUGGACUUACGUGACUUUCACAACCUAAAUACUUUAUUUUAUAUUUUAGAAAAAAUGGUGGAUUAAUUUAGAAAAAUGGAAGACACAUUUGAUAUGAUAACUUGAUAAGCACAAAAGAGUAGAGAAUAUUGGAAUUAAUGAAAAAUAUCAGGUUGGUUAAAGAGAUGCUUAUAUACAUGUUAUAUAGAAUCGUAUAAUUUAUGUAUCUUAAAAUCAACGUAAAAUAUAAUCAAACUAUCUCAACGAUAUUCUUUCAUCUAUCUUCAAAUGAGAUCAUUAUAUCUUAUCUAAUGUUAUAUGUCGUAUAUAUACAUUAUAGUAUCUACAUUAUACGAUAGAUUUUAGCGGUCCAACAUUCAUUAUCUUGUAAUACUAUUGAUCUUAUUGAGGGGUAAAGAGGGAAAAACGGACACAUCCAAAUAGAUAAAUCAAUCACUAUCCGUAUAUAAUGUAAGGAGAGAGACAAAACUUUACAACUUUUGUUAUUUAUUCUUCUUUUUUAUUCAAAUUCAUUACUUUUCAUUUAUUUUUUGAAAAUUUACUUUAAUUAUAUUUACCAUGAAAUCUGUAGUUUUUGGUAUAAAAGCAGCAAUCUUCUCAUAAUUCCAAAAUCCAUACAGAGCUGAAAAUUUUUCAAAAAAUUUGUGUGAAAUUCUAGAAUCAUCUUCUCUGUGAUUACUAGAAGAAGAAAAAUGGCGGAUCAGCUUACUGAUGACCAGAUCUCUGAGUUCAAAGAGGCUUUCAGCUUGUUCGACAAGGACGGAGAUGGUUUGGCGUCCUUUUUUUUUUCUUUAAAUGUGUAUAUGUUUUGUGUUUUUGAUGCUUAUAGGUGUAUGUGGAAUCUGUUUUGUUGCAGAUCUGACGUUUGAUUUGAAAUUUUGAAUGAACUAGUUGAUUUUUUUGGUGACAGGUUGAUGUAUGAGAAUAUUCAGUUAGUAAAUAGAGGAAAAAAUAGAUUUUCUAGCUUGUUGAAACGUUAAAAAUGAAUUAGAGAAUAUGGAAGCUAUGUAGUUUGAUGUUACGUUGGUGAAUUACUGUUUUUUGCUUAUUAAUUAAGAGUUUUUUCGGUAUCAUGAGAUCUCAUGUUGAAAAACAAGUGAUUUUUUUUCGUUUUUGGUGAAUAGAGUUACCUGAUAACUGCAUCCAAAGAUUUGGCCGGUUAGUUGGGUUGAGAACCAUGAAGUCUCGUAUUAAGAAGGUGCUUUGGUUGAUAGAGUUACCGGAAGUGCUUGAGAGAACCCUGGGGCCUCAGGUUCAAAUCACAACAGAGACAAAAAUACAAUUAAUUUCCUUCCAUCUGUCUUAACUUUGGUGGAUAGAAUUACUUGGUACUUGUUGCUGGUGGUGGUGGGAGUUGAGAGGUAUUUUAUGGAAUUAGUCUAGGUGUGUGUAAGUUGGCUUGGAUAUGACGGUUAUAAAAAAAAAGGAGUUACUCCGUACUCGUGUUGGUGGGAGGUAGUGGAAUUAGUGGGACUUGUGUGUGUCGGAGGCCGUGGAAUUAGUAGAGGUGCGUGCAAGCUGAACUAGACCACGAUAAUGAAAGAACUUAAAAGAAGAAAUUAAGAGCUAUUUCAGAGAAGCUGUGUUGUAAAUUGGAUUAUACAUGGAUUGAGAAGUGAUAAUUUAAUUUGAUGAAAAAUUUGGCCUUUAUUACUGGCUUCAGUUUGUGUUAAAUGCUAACCAAAAUCCUCCCUUUUUUCUAAAUCUGUAGUAGCUUUUGUCUGAACUCAUUGAUUGGGACGAACAAUUAGAUGAAUGAUUUUUUUCAUUAGUUAUUAGGGAAGUGUUAAAAGAUAUUUAUUAAAUGUUGAUAACAGUGUUAGUAAUGUUGUUAUGUGUUGAAAAAUUGGUGAUUUUUUUUUUGUGUUCCUUAUUUUCUGGGACAUGAGUUGAAAAGUGGUGUAUUUUCUGUUUUCUUCUGUGGACAGUAGCUUACUGAUGUUAGGGUCACUGAGUGUGGUUUGUUAGUUUUCGUGCAGUAAGCUAAUCGUGAAGCUUUGUAUAUAGGUUGCAUCACGACUAAGGAGCUUGGGACUGUGAUGAGGUCGUUGGGACAGAACCCUACUGAAGCUGAACUCCAGGACAUGAUAAACGAGGUGGAUGCAGAUGGUAAUGGAACCAUCGACUUCCCAGAGUUUCUAAACCUCAUGGCCAGGAAGAUGAAGGAUACUGACUCUGAGGAGGAGUUGAAAGAGGCAUUCAGAGUUUUCGACAAGGAUCAAAAUGGCUUCAUCUCAGCUGCUGAGCUUCGUCAUGUGAUGACUAACCUUGGAGAGAAGCUUACUGAUGAAGAAGUCGAUGAGAUGAUUAGGGAAGCAGAUGUUGAUGGUGAUGGACAAAUCAACUAUGAGGAGUUUGUUAAGGUCAUGAUGGCCAAGUAAUUCCACCAUCCUCUUGUUACAUUUGAAGUUUAGACUUGUCAAAAAUGUGAAAAAAAAGCCAAAAAUAAUUCAUUGGAUAGGAUCUUAUCUAGUAUAAUGUAAGUCUUACCAUCUCGAUGUAUUGAACCUUCAUUGAAUGUAAUGUUUUAUUGUAAGGGUGGUGUAAUCUCUACUUAUUUUCUUGAAGUUUAUGUACUUUCUUUGAUCCUCUUAGUUGAUGAAUGCAAUUUUAUGAGGGUAAUUUCCUCAUCGCAAAGUGUUUUGUAAGGAUUCAUCAUGUAUUGACUAGCUUAGUACGCAAUGUACCACCCAUUUCAUGUAGGUUUCGGGUAAGGGCCAGCAGCCCAAUACUACAAACAUAUGCUAUCCACCCUGUUGCAAGUCUGAAUUACAGUUUAACUUUAUCGUUGCUUCAAGGUUCCAUUGGUAUCAACCGUUAAAACAUUUUAAUGGAUGAUGCAGGCAGCAGAGGCUUGUGGGAAAACUAGAACUGACAUUACCUAUGUUGUGGGGUUGGUAAGCCAUUAUAUGCAUGCUCCUUGUCAAGCACACCUACAUGUAGUAUAUAGGAUCUUGUAGUACCUCAAAGGUUAUCUUGGCAAAGGUAUGAUCUAUACUAAUCAUGGCCAUGGGAGAGUUGAAAUCUAUAGUAAUGCUGAUUGGGGUGGGUCAGUAGAGGACAGGAGAUAAAUUAGAUAUUUAUGGAAAAAAUAACGAUGUAGAGGGAGACUGAAAAGAAGGCUCGACCUAUAGGGAGAGUGGUGGGCAGGGCCCCAUAGAGAUGUUGACAUCUGGGUUCACUUGAAAAACUAACGGAGAUAAGGUCGAUGAUCAACUUCAGGAUGAGAAAAGAUCGCUGAGAAAGCAUCUUGGCGAAGAUAAAAGAGUUCAACACCUGAUCGAAACAAAGUCCGUAUUCUUCCUAAACCCCCUAUUCUUAGCAUGGCGGAUAUUGAAUAAAGGGGUGACCGAGGGGGUACUGAUUUGAGGGAAGCAUAAAGGAAGAAUGGAAAAAUUUUCUCGCGGACAACAGUGCUCUGGUAGAAAAUUUGCUCUGAGGAUACGUAUGAUAACAACACCCACCUAAUGUAAUGUGGUGUGGAAAGGCAAGGGCAAGCGAUAGAAAGGAUAGUCCCUCGCGCGAACUACUACUACUAGAAAAAUGGUGAGACCAUUAGUGAAGAUGGACCAAGAAGGAUCCUAUCCUAAAGGAGAAGGAGGAGGAGUAGGAGCUAGAUUUAGGGACGGAAUCGAAUGACUACGAGAUAAACAAUGAGACAAAGGAGAGCACUUAGACGAGUCAGCCAAGAAGAAAGACCACCAAAAGUAACGACCACCAAGAUAGGCAUAGUAAUUCGAUCUUUUGAUCACCCAUUUUUGGGAGCUUCUGCCUUACACACGGAAGAUUGGAUUGCCUGAAUCAUGAGUCUUAUAUAUUGAUAAAAAGUUCAGAGAACAAUUUUUUAUGAAAAUCAAAAAAGAAUUUCCGGUCAUAAAAACAUAAAGGCAUGAAUUGCGCAAGAAGUUUUUUCGAUUAAAAUGACAUGCAACUCAAAGGACAUAAGACUUCUUGGUCAAGCCAAAAAGAUUGCCGACUGGAUGCUCCUACCCCACCAUGCCUAACCCUUUAUCUUACCUUAAGAAGAAAGAGGAGGUAGGUAUGAAGCGUGGGACAGAAUGCAAGAAGUGCAUACAACAGAUAACCUUAACCUUAAGGAGUGGUGGCAACCCUCUUGAUUGAUCAACGCGAGUGGCCGCUUUCUUGAUUGAUCAACGCGAGUGGCCGCUUCCUUUCCGUUGGUAUCAACCGUUAAAACGUUUACCCUAAUUAAUAACAUCUCCAUUUAUAUAAAGGAAUAUGCAUAUUGCACACUACAGACUGAAGAUGAACCAUAUAAAAACUAGAGAGAAACAACUGAAAUUAUCAAUUUCAUUUAUCAGGGCAAAAUACAAAUUCAAUUCUGCAGGAUUGUUUCUCCCAUCUAUCAAACAAAAGCAAUAAAGAACAAAGGAUUUAGUCACAUAAAUCCAUUAAAAACAAGUUUAUAAUCUCUUCAAGCUUUUCUUUCUCGCAUCGAUCUUCUUUUUGUCUGCAGGGAGUUUAGCCAAUCCAGCUUCCUUCUUCAUGGUCAGUGAUGGUGGUGCUGCUGACCCACUAACUGCUGUGUCCGCAGUUAGUGGCUGGUCAAGAUUGUUUCCUCCUUUUACAAUGUUAGCUGUAGGGGCUAACGGAGAAGGCUGUUGGAGAGGUGCGACUCCAGAUACCAGAGUCUUCUGAUCAACGUUACACAGUGAAGUAUGUGUCUGGCCAACAUUUAGGGCUGUCGUUGACUCGGAAAUAGCUCCUGUUUUUAACUUAGUCUUUGGUUUAGCAUGAAUACUGGUAUAAAGCCUGCAUGUUUAAACACCGAGGGAGCAUUAGACGGUCAGGAAGAACAUUCAAAGUGCUAAAACGCUACUUGAAACAACAAAGGUAGCCUAUUUUUUCAUCUAUUAAGGGCGGAUGACGCAGGGCCUAAGUUGAACCUACGACCACAUAAACUAUGCUAGUCAGCCAGACUGGCUUAAGUCUGUAUUAAAACGUAGUCAUCGGAUUUACGAGCAGGAAUUCCAGGUUUUUACAACUACAAAGAGGAAAUGAGCAUGAGUUGGUUCACUUGGAUCUUCUUUUUUUGGUUAUACUAGAUAUAUCAUUUUCCAAUUUGAUUUCUGUUGCAACCCUUUCAAAAUGUACUUGUAGCAUUUCUAUUAAAUGCACAAAAAUAAGAUCAACUUAAAGCACAACAAAACCAUGUUGGCACCAUAAUAUAAAGACAGUUACAUGUAGGAUAAUCAAGCAGGACAGUACAAAUAAUUGCAACAAAUCAGGUAUGGCGAUGCCAAAUAAUUAUCAAGGUGGCAUGAAGUGAAGCUAGUCGGGCUAACUCACCUUGCAUGUCUAGCAUACUCAUCAUAAUUAUCAAGAAGCAUCUUGCCAGCUUGCUCAUUUAGCGCAGAUUCCGGAAAUGGCUCGAUAAGUAAACAUCUUACCACCUGUUACAAAACCAUCAAGGAAAGGAUAAUGUCAAUUCAAACUUAUCUCCAGAGGAGACUCAAUUUUUACUUAGAAAUAAAACAGAAACUUACCAUGAGAACAUGUCGUAGGCCCAAACUAGGACUCCAAUCUUUUUUCAAAGCAUUUACACAAAUCUCGCCAUUGGAGGCAAUGUUGGGAUGAAAAAUCUUGGUCAGAAAAUAACCUAGAAAAAAAACGAAAAAUGUAAAUUAUGCACUCCAUAUUUGCUUAGCAAUUGGCAAUGAGAGAUCUCCUCCCAGAGAUGCCGAAUGUUGCAAUGCUUCAAGUGGUAACUGCUAUUAAACUUUUCCAUGAGAAUUGACAUAGGAAUUGCAGCUAGUCCCAGAGAACAAUAUGCUCACAAAAAUAAUGCCAAGAAAUUUAUUUACAUCAACAGCUGGAGAGUUCAUGUAGAGCCAAGGUACCCCAGAAAGUAAAGUUACUUGACCUAUUUAAAUGAGUAGAAAGUGAAAAAAAGUUCCUAAAACGAAAUAAACGGGGAAAAUACAACUUAGGUUCUUGAAUUGUGAUCAAUACAGAACCAACUGAUUGAAACAUCAAAAAAAAAAAAAAAAAAAGAUACAAGUAAAGGACUACAAAACACGUCACACUGGUAAAACUUUGAAAACAUUGCAAUGUUGAGACAAACCUUUGGGUGGGGAAUGAGGGAAAUCAUGUGUCAAAAUCAACUUCAUGCGGAAUACCCCAUUCUCAUAAGGAGUCCCAGCUGCAAGGUAGAUAAGGAGCAAUUAGAACAAGUGUCAUGUCUCAAGAACUGAAAUAUGUACAACAAACACAACAUACCUGGACCCUCAAUAUCAGCAAAUAUGGUUGAAAAAUCAUCAUCAUUUACACCUACUUUGAUGCCCUCAGGAGGAGAAUCAUCAAGAUUUUUCAAUUCCUUUGCCAAUUGUUUUAUCACGUUUGGUGGCAGAUUUUCAUUAGUUGCCUAUGCCAAAAAAACAAAUUUAGGACAAAAUCAAUUGACAAAUGGCAAAUUACCAUACUAAAUUACUUAUCACAAGAUAAGGAAACAGAAAAAAAGAACUAAUUCAUUUGGAUCCAGGAAGAAAAUGACAUAAAGAAACCUAGUAAUAGUAACACAUUGAAUUCGAUGAAAUACCAUAGCCAAAUAUAAGUAAAAAAAAAAAAAAAAACAGAUACAAGUAAAGGACUACAAAACACGUCACACUGGUAAAACUUUGAAAACAUUGCAAUGUUGAGACAAACCUUUGGGUGGGGAAUGAGGGAAAUCAUGUGUCAAAAUCAACUUCAUGCGGAAUACCCCAUUCUCAUAAGGAGUCCCAGCUGCAAGGUAGAUAAGGAGCAAUUAGAACAAGUGUCAUGUCUCAAGAACUGAAAUAUGUACAACAAACACAACAUACCUGGACCCUCAAUAUCAGCAAAUAUGGUUGAAAAAUCAUCAUCAUUUACACCUACUUUGAUGCCCUCAGGAGGAGAAUCAUCAAGAUUUUUCAAUUCCUUUGCCAAUUGUUUUAUCACGUUUGGUGGCAGAUUUUCAUUAGUUGCCUAUGCCAAAAAAACAAAUUUAGGACAAAAUCAAUUGACAAAUGGCAAAUUACCAUACUAAAUUACUUAUCACAAGAUAAGGAAACAGAAAAAAAGAACUAAUUCAUUUGGAUCCAGGAAGAAAAUGACAUAAAGAAACCUAGUAAUAGUAACACAUUGAAUUCGAUGAAAUACCAUAGCCAAAUAUAAGUUGAUGUCCUAGGAGCAGUUGGCAACUUUGCUGAUGAGUUAUCAGUGAAGCACGUAGUUUUAGCUGGUAGUUUAGAUGUUUAGACAAUCAAGCUUAUGAAAGAAUCCUGCAAAAGGGCCAGAAAAAGAUAAUCAGAAUACAAUCCUUCAAUUGUCCAACCAAUCAUAAGAAACAGGCAAGUAAAGAUCUGUUCAAAAUGACAAGGCCAUCUUCAAGAAAAUUGUGUCAAUCCACCAGAUGUGGAUAAUAUGUCAGAGAAUCACAAAAUUGUCAACACAAAUACAAGUCCAUAGACUCCUCUUCUCCAUAUUAGUCCAUACAAUAAGACAAAUGUCUAAAAGAGUCUCUGAUUCUCAAAGAAAAAAUAAUAUACUUGACUGUUCCAAUCACACAUACAGCUCUACUUUUCUCAGUUUCUGAACUUACACCUACUUGGUGGCCUAUCUACCCUCACAGGAUAGGGGUAAUGCUGCGUACACACCACCCUCCCUCGAUCUCACUUAGUGAAAUUACUGUUGUACACUACCUACUUGGGUAGCACUAGGGAAUGGCUUUUUGGUUAAUAAGCUCCACAGAAUGCAACUCUUGAUUUUCAAUAUUGUUCCACUACAUAAAUAAAAUUCCCUUCACAAUCAGGACAUCAAAAUCAUGAAAUAUGGUAGCUUGACUAGUUUCAGCAUAAAGUCAAAUGUAAAGACAUCACAGAGUGGUAUAACUAGAAAAUCCAACCACUUGUAAGAGAAAUGUUAGAUGCCGAAGUAUCUUCAUCAUCACUUCGUAAAGAGUGGUCUAAAACUACUUGAUACUGAAUGUCAACAGAAACAAUGGUAGUACUGAAGCUAACAGUGCUACAAAGAAAGAUUAGGCAAAGAAUCCAAGCACCCAGCCAAAAGAUUAGUCAAUUGGACCAUUGAUAUCUAGAAUGGACAAAUUCAUAGUCGAUCACAUAUUCCCCAAUCUGGUAAAUUCCAAAAAGGAUAUCGUUAAACACUAAAGCUCACUUUGGUACUUCAACUUAGUACACAAGAGUCGCUAGUAUGGUAAUCCUGACAGAACUAACAAAACUAUUAGGCUGUUUGCUGCCUGACCCUUAACAAUAGAACAUCUUAAACAGCAGAAACACACCAGUUCAUAUAACCGCCCUCAAAGAAGGUGCUUUAGUUAUUAAUAGCUAUCACAAGCAUUAAGAUUACAAGAAUGAUUACUUCGAAUGAGCAAACAACAUAAUAGCAGACAAUAAGAGAACUAACAGCACAUCCAGAGAAAGAAAAAAAAUUGGGAUCCUAGCCAAAAGUUGGACACCAUGGAACCGGUAAUCAAAAGGAGCAACUUUGAGCUGGAAAACUCAUGUUGAGUUCAUAACCCCAUCAAAAUUAACCAGUGCCAAAAUCCUGUAUGCACAAGGUUCUCUAACCAUGUUGACAAUAAUCCACCAACCUUUCUCUCAAAAUUCAACUCCAAAUAUAAUACUCCAUAAGACAAACUAAAACCCUAGAAAUAUGACAUUUCAAAUGCUUACUCGUAUGGAUGAUUGAAUACUCAAAAUAUCUUGACUUUGGUAAUUUCAUCAAAGGGGAUAAAUCAAAAAUUGCUCAUCACAACCAAAGUCAAGACUUGAAACAGACACUUAUCUAUAGCCACUUUAAAAUCAAAAUCAAACACCCAAUCUUCCUAUUUACACAUAUCACAAUGCACCAAGAUAAACAUUAAAGAAUCAGUAAAACACACACAACACAAACACAAUUGGAAUCUUCACCAAUUGAAAACCUAAUCAGACAAGCAAAGAGAUCCUACACCUUAACAAUCAAAACCCAAACCACAAAGUCCAACCAUGAAAGCAAACAACUUUACAUACACCCUUUUACAAUUAACAUCAAAUGAAGCACCGAUCUGAAUCAAAACUCCAAGAAAUCACAACCCCAUUUCUAAAAAUCAAAUCUUUAUUACUCCCAAGUCAAGAAAUCAGACACUCACAAUCAAGAUUGAUGAAAAACAGUCAUCUAGAUAGUGCUGGAAACAAAAUUCAACAAAUUUAAAGGAACCCCAGAUGGCAAAAACUCACCUUUAGGCCUCUAGAGAGAGAGAAAUGAAAGGAACAGAAGUGGGUAAAUGGAUUAGAGGAGUAAGGUGUCUAUUUGCUUUCCCUUUCUCUAACUUGGAACAACACCCACAAAAAAUCCAGAAAGUGAUGCCUUUUUAAUAUAUCAUUUGAUGAAUUUUGGAUUAAAGAGACACUGAUUGAUGUAUAUGUAUAUGUAUACGUUACACACCAACAUAGUCCAGAGAGGAAAGUAUAGAAUAUAAGAGAAAAAUAAUGAGAAAAAACAUUUGUCUAUAUUUUUAAUUUUUGAAAAAAUUAAUUUAAAUAACACCUCACCCAAUCGUCGGGCUAUUUGUGUAAAGAUCUCUUCUUUUUUUUUUUGAGGUUAAACUUGUGAAUAAGAGUGGAAAAACAUAAUUUAAGUUUAACCUUGAAAGUAUUGUUUUAACUUGAAUAUCAAAUUUUGCUUCUGAAAAAAAAUAAAGUGGAAGGAAAUAGAAAUAUAUAAUUUGAGGUUUUAUUAUCGUUCUGGAUGGUUUUAUUACGAUGAGGAAAAUAAUUCAUUCUUUUAUUGCAUUUUCUCAUUUCAGAGUCGAAUUUAUCGAGUUUGAUACAGUAAAAAUGAGUUUUGAUCUAGUUUCAUAGAUAAGUUAUGUUUUACAUGAUGUUCAUAGUUUUAAAAUUAUACAUGAAUCAAGAUAUAAUGUGUAAAAUGCAAAUAAUUUAUGUAACUUCGGCAUCUCUUGGCCAAAGAAAUCGCUAGAUAAAAAUCUUAAUAGAGAGAAUUAGAAAUAUAAAGUAGCAAGAACUGAGGGGGGGAAAUCAUUCUUUUUUGCAUUUUCUUGUUUCGGGUGUCGAAUUUAUAGAGUGUGAUAUGGUAAAAACGAGUAUUCAUCCAGAUUUCUGAAUAAGUUAUGUUUCACAUGAUGUUUGACUAGGUUCGUAGUUUUAAAAUUUAUACGUGAAUCAACAUAUAAUAUGUAUAAUGCAAUUAACUAUGUAACUUCGACAUCUCUUGGCCAAAGAAAUCUCACGAUGAAAAAAAAUCUUAAUAGAGUGAAUAGGGAUAUAAAAUAGCAAGAACGAAUGAGCAAAAGAUCACGUUGACAAUAAAAAUGUAAGAUAGAAUUUUUAAUUCUUUUAAGAACGUAAUUGUCGUAAUUACUCGACGAAUAUGAAAACAAUUAUCAUAUUAAUUGCUUAUAAUCCUUUUAUGAAUACCCUUGAUUAUCCUAUACCAAUAAAUUGAAAAUCAAUGGCAAUUAUUUGUUGAUUCAAUAAGGAUAUCUAAAAUAGUUGGCAUGGUCAUUAUGUCACACUCUAUUUGACAAAAAUGCCUCUAUGUUCCAAUUGUAGGUCCAUCUAUGAACAAAUAAUUGGGUAGCUUGUACUUAAAUUUAUUUUUUGAUAAAAAUAAUUCUCAAUAUAUUUUUAUAACAUUUUAAUUCGAUAUGAGAAAGAUAUGCUUGAAUGUCUAAUUUAUACACGAGACUUAUAAUUUUUAAUAUAUUAUAAUUUCAAAUUAUAUUAUCUUUUUAUAUCGUAAUGUUUAGAUCAACUUAUAUAUACCUCCACUAAUACGAUAAUAAUUCAAUUAUCAAGCCUACAUAACACCAACAUUAUCACCAAGCUCAAAUGACAUAUUUUAAAUAUAUAAAAUCAGAUAUAGUUAAGUUCAUUAACAUUAAAAAAUGAUUAAUUCCAAUUAACUAUGAUAGGAAAAGUUUUACAAUCAUUGAGAAAGAGAACUUAAUGCCUAUUAAUUAAUCAAUAAUAAGGAUAAGGAUGUAAUAUUAAUUAAGUCCUUUGGUAGUUGACUCAUGCAAAAGCUAGCUGGAUAAAUUCCAUAAAAAAAAUUAGAGAAUAUAUUUAUUUGAAUUAAAUAUUAUAAUAAUUAUACUAUUUUAAUUUUUUCUUCAUCCAUUUUGUUUGUCUUACCUACCAUUUAGAUAAUUAAAUAUUAUUUUUUUCAAAUAAUAUCUUGAUAUUCUGAAUUUUAUAUAUUUGUUAUACACUUUCUAAAUAUGUAUAUUUUAUUUCAAAUUCUGUAUCCGAAUUUACACGAACAUAAUUAAUUUGAUUUCCGUACUGUGAAUCGAGUCAAAUAAAUUGAAACAAAUGAAGUAUAAUUUAAUAUUAUAUAAUAAAGUAGGUAUUUUAUUUAAUAUAUUAAAUUAAUGAAUUAAAGGUCCGAAUAUUGUCGGGUUAUGGGCCAUACCAAAUACUGUUUAGAAUUCAAAUUUUGCCGACACUUUUGGGCUCAUUUAUUGACCGUUGGAAAGUCCAAUGCAAAACUAGCCGUUGCCCUCUGCCAGCCUUUUAUUAUCUUGCAUUUUUUUAUAUAAAAAAUAAUAUUUUUUUUUAUAAAAAAUAAAAAAUUAUACUUUAUUUCAUGACUAUGUUAAAGCAUAUUGAAAUUUUUAUGCGGAAACGUUAGACGAUUAUCUAAAGAUUUUAUUUUUGAGUAAACUGAAAUCUUAUGAGAAAACGUUAGAUUGUUGUCUAAUUUUUUUGUAAGUUAUUGUAAACAUUAGAGAAGAACAAUUUAAUGUAUUGUUUGUAAGAUUGGGUAAUGUAUAAAGAAAACGGUAGAUCAUAAUCUAUUGUCACCCGAAAGGGUAAUUAUUCUAAUGUUAAAUUUGUACGACUUUUAAAUGAUAGAGACGAAAUUUAAGUGGUGGUGUUAAUAAAAAGGUUCAUCGGACGUUGAAAUAUGUAUGUGGUCGGAUUGUUUGUAUUUAGUUGUUUUUAGUCGAGGGUCUUUUGGCGAUAACUUCUCUAUUUGUAUGAGGUGAGGAUAAGAUCGGUGUAUACAAAUCCUCUCCAAAUUUCAUCUAUGUGGUUUCGCUGAGUAUAUUAUUAUUUGUGUUUAGUUGACUUAUAUAGAAGUUGAGGUCUUUUAGAAUUAUAUAUUUUUUGUGAAGUGUGGUGAUCGGAUUGUAAGUACUAUGUAUCCUUUGAUAAGAAACACUUUAUCCCCAAAAUAGGCCUUCUGGACACGACUAUGAAAUAGAAGGACUCUAAAGUGGAUAUCGAAUACCGAAUAAAAAUUAAAAUAGAAAAAUAAUUACAACUAUGUAAGAGAUCAAUUUUACCCUUAUGCUAUCUUAACUUAAACAACUAUGCCACGUGUUAUACAAUAGGCAUGAUCUUGCUCAGGGCCAUGACCAUUAGGAGCUCCAACUAGAAGUAUAACUAGAGAUAGUUUAUAUUAAAUUCAAAAAUAAAGAAGUAAGUUUGAAUUUUUUUUACUCGAAAUACCUAAAACAUGGAGUUAACCUAUUUCACAUUAAAACUUUAUUAAUAUCGUGAUAAAUACGAGAUGAUUUGCUAAUAAUAAGAUUAAGAAUGAACCAAAAGCAUAUCUAAUUGUUCUACUAAGGCCUUUUGAAUGGUGUAAGCAUAAAUUUGGACCUUUUCAAUAAAAAAAUAAAAAUUAUAAGACUAAUUUGAAGCAUCUAAUCUCUUCCAAAUAAAUAUUAGGAUUUUCUUAGUUGUUAAAGAGACAAUAUGACAAGAACUUUAUUUCAUUUCAACUAUUAGUGGCAUCAUUUGCUUUAAAAAAGAAAAUUAAACAAAAAGUAGGUUGAUUAGGGAAAUAAUAAGGCAUUAAUCUUUAAUUACCAUUAAUCUGCAUAGAGAUUCCAUGUUUCAAAUAUUUAAUUUCUUGUGAAAAUAUUUAAAUAACCAUCAAACUUUUUGCAUCCAUAUUUGGUUUCUAUUUCUAAUUCAAGUGCACUAAUAAUUAUAAAGAUUAAUCAAAUUAGACUACUAUUAUAUUAUCGUCAAUCUAUCACAAUCUUCUUCAUUUAUUUGAAUUUUAGAUCAAUCAUGAUUUGUGAUGCUUUUACUACUCGAUAUUUACACUAAGCUGCAAUCUUAACAAUUUUAAAAUUAAAGAAAAUAUACUUCACUUAAUUAUAACUAAAUGAUAAACGUGUGUUGUGAGAUAUGUUUGUAUUCGUUGGUUUGAUCUAAAUACUUUUUAAAGUUAAAUUUUUAUUGUUCAAAUAAAAAAAAAUAGUCACAUCAAAUAACUUGGUAAAAUAAAUUUAUAUAGGAGUAAAAUUAAUGUUACAUUUCUUGUUGCUUAUAUAUAAGCUUCAACGAGAAAAGGUAUAAUCUAUCCAAUAAUUGGGUUUUCUUUAACAAAACCAUUGAAGUCAGGACAAAGCCACACACGAUUACAACACACAUUAUCGAGUUUAUUACAAUGAAAAGGUACAAUCUAUUCAACGGUGUUAUUUAUUCAGAUUUUUUUUACUAUUAGUAUCGUUUGGUUGGGAACUAGUUAUCCCACGAUUAACUAUCAUGGGAUAACGUAUUCCACCACUAUGCUAUAAAUGGUGCGAUAAGUUAUCCAAACAUAUCAACCAAAUAAGACAUCUAAAUUUUAUCCCAGAACUAUUUUUUCAUCCCAUGACUAUUUAUUCUUAUCCCUCACACCAAACGAGCCCUAAGAGAGAACAUAAAAUACAUCAUAGCAUAAAAAAACUUGACUAAUGUAGUGAAUUUAUUAUAAAAGUUGACUGUUAUAAAGAUGUUUGACCGUACGUCUUUCCUUGAAAUGAAGAAUAGUAAUAGUUAAUUUUUUGAUAUAUUAAUUGAGUCAUAACAUUAGUUUUCUAAGACAUGGUGAUCAUUUCUUUAACAACAAAACCCAAAAAAAAUUUACAAAAAAAUCUUAAUUUUGAUAUUAAACUAAAUGAAAGUUAAAAUAAAAGCAUGCAUCACUUAAUUAUAACUAAAUGAUAAAUGUGUGUUAUGAAAUAUAUGUUUGCAUAGUUGGUUUGAUCUAAAAUCUAAAUAUUGAGUAGAAUUAAGUUCUUACCUUUCAAAUAUCGAAAUUAAAAAAUAGUAACAUUAAACAAUAAGGUAAAAUAAAUUUCAUAUAAGAAUAAAGUUUGUAAUCGCAAUUAAAACAAGGAGGGUAUUUAGGCAUAGUGAUUGCCAUAGAUUGAGAAAGAAAUAGAAAACUAAGAGAAAAAAGAAUUACUAUUACUUUUUCCAUUUUGUUUGUGAUGUUCUUCAAAUGUAUAAGAAACUUCUUAAUUUAUAGGGAUGUAAUUAUUAAUUUUUUUCCUUUUGUAGAAUAUAUUUUCAAAUUUUGUGCAUAGAAUAUGUCAAAAUUUCUCUUAUGGUAUAACUAAUAAUGAGAUGACUUUUUAAAAUAGAGUCAAACUUCUUUAUAAUAAUAUUGGUUGUUCAAAUUUUUUGGUAUUAAUGUAUUUUCAGAUUUUGUGCAUAGAAUAUGUCAAAUUUCUCUUAUGGUAUAAUUAUUAAUGAGAUGACUUUUCAAAAUACAGUCAAACUUCUUUAUAAUGAUAUUGGUUGUUCAGAUUUUUUGGUAUUAAUUUUUUACUAUAAAUGAUUAUUUAUGAUCACUUAUAAAUUUCAUUGAAGAAAAUUGUUUUCUUUUAGAUUUCUUUGUAAAAAUAAUGAUCUCUUAUAAAGAAGGACAUAAAACUUAAAUAAAUUAGCAAAAUGCUAAAAACCCAAAUCUCCUUUUCUUUAAAUCUUUAAUAAAUAUUGUUAUUGAGUAUAUAUGAUAUAACAUAACACGAUACUAGGAAAAAGAAAAACUCGAUUGAUAUAGUGAAACUUAUAGAGAUUGACUAUUAUACGAGAUCUGAUUAUAAAUGAAGAAUAAUGAUAGUUAAAUUUUGAUAUAAUUGAAUCAUAAAACUAUUUUUUCAAUAAACCUUUUAACGUAUUCUACCAUUAGUUUCAAAGAAAAGAUUCUACCUUUGGUUAAAUGAUAAACAUAUUGUGAAAAACAUGUUUUGCGUUCAUUGGUUUGAUCUAAAUACCGAUCGGGUGAUAAGUUUUUACCCCUUAUAUCAACAACAACAACAACUACGCCUCAAUCUCAAAUAAGUUAAGAUUUAACUCUAUGAAUCAUCAUUUCUUCAUUUAAGCUCAUAUCAUGUCAUCGUCAUCAUCAUAAUAAAUAAAAUAAUUUGGUAAAAUCAAUUUUUAUAAGCUCACAGCUUGUAAGAGAUUGCAUCAAAGAAAGUACUCAAAUUCUUAAAAUUUCUCAAAGAGUUCAAUUCAAAAAUUGAGGAUGGAAAGUACAAAGAGCUAAAUUUGUGAAGUUGAAAACAUAAAUAGACAAGAGAAACCUAGUAAACUUUUUCUUCUUGUCCUCUUUGUAGCUGGCUUCUAAUCUUCAUAAAAUAAAAUAAAAACUUCAGUUGAAUACUGAUUUUACCCCACUUUAUUGCUAAUGGUUUGAUAAAGAGACUGAAAUUGUGUGUUCCAUCUAUCAAUAGCUGUAUACUUCUUCAUCCCCUUUGACCUGAAAUAGCAAAUAUCCAAUGAAGUUCAAUAUAUUAGAGAAGGAAAGAAAAAGGGGAACACGGGAUUAAGUUAUAUACACUGACAAUGGUUUAACGUGUGAUAAGCAAGUUUAGUACAAUCUUUUGCUAGGUUAUUGAUCGAUGGUUAUCCGAGAGAUUUAUAUGUAACUACAUUAUGUGUGAUGUGAUAUGCAUUGAACUUAAACUCAAGGGGAGAAAAAAGACAGUGGAUGAACCUGUCGCAAUGCUCCAACAAUUUGUUUACUUGGUCAAUAUGACCUUGUAUCCGGUUAUCCAGUAUCAGUGACACCAAUAACGUUUCCACUUCACCUUCUGGUACGUUAAUCUCCUGAAUGUAGAUGAACAUGGCAAAUUUCAGUUCAACAGAGGAUUUCUCGGAUACAUAUAAGCAGGAAACACACGAAUAAAGAAUCGACUACACAAAUGGGAGGGGGGAAACGGAAAGAAUUUGGAGUACAGAUUUCAAUUGCUGGAUAGAAAAAGGCAUGAGGAUUACUCGUACCUUCGAUAUGAAAGGAAUCCUGAUCCGUGUAUAUGGUUUAAUGAGUUUCAGCAACACUUGAGUCCUUAUAUUCUUCAACAAGUCCUCAAUAUAAUUUCUAAUGAAUGGAUCAUCCAUGAUAGUUUUUCUAUUGCUCUGCAAAAAUCCAUUUUUUUAAUCUGUUAUUCUUUCUAGACUAGAUGUGAUAACCAAUUAAAGGACCCUAGUAAUCCUCACCUUAAGGAUUUUCUCGAAUUCCAAUAUCUCAUUUCGUUGAUAUGCAGCAAUCAAAUUAGUCAUGGCCAAGAUUUCUGGGUCAUUUUUGUACCUGGAAUACGGUCUUGCUAAGUCAGAAUAGUGAAACAAAAUAAGGAUAAUAAACUACAUGCUGAAUGGAAGUUUACAUACGGUUUUGCCUCCUGCCCAUCAAACGGAUUAACUUGUGAUUCCAUAAGCAUGUUGGCCAACACCAAGUAUCUGCAAUGUUUUUAAAAAAAAAGGAGCUUACACGACUUUUGAAGGUGGUGAAAAAAAACUUCUGAAUGUAAAAAUGCUGAAAUAUCAGAGCAAACUCAUAUCCUGAAACUUAGGUAGUGCAAGCUCUCUUUUAUACUUUUUAAGACGAUAAAUAUUGAAAUUCCUAGAGAAGCCUAAAAACUAUUGGGCGCACCUUGAAAAUUGUAGAUCGAACAGAUUUUUACAUAUUCAAAAGCUAAUUUUCACUAGCAAAUUGAGGAAUAAACUCAUGAUUGCAUUUGUGAUGGGCACUUCUAGUGAUGCUCAGCCGUGUAGUUUAUAUCUCAUACUUGUAUAAUUCACCACUUUAGUAUAACUGAAGUUCUUAUUUCCUAUUAGUUAUUCAACCAACUAACAAAUAUAAUUUAUUGCAAAAGCUCUAGUCACCCAUGGAGAGGUCUUCCUAAACAGAAUAAGAGAAACAACUAUAAAGCAACUUUUAACUUACUUCAGGCACUGUAUGCGCCGUUGAUUACCAGCUUCAUCGUAGUUCUUAAAAGCUUCAAAGAAGUCAGUAGCUGCCUCUGCCCACUGUCUUUGUGCCAUAUGCAUUUUCCCACCACACUCACGGAUUAUUCCCAUUAUUCUAGGAUGUGGGAUAGCUGAUUUGAUUGUAAGAGCCUUCCCAUACAAUUCCUAUCAUUAAGCAUUUUACCAGACAUGUCAAAGGAAAAUAAACUUAAGAGCCACUACUUGUAAAAAAUAAUUUACAAAAAAGAAGAAGCUAAACAAUAUAGCAUAAAUCGAUAAAAAUAGACUUAAGACUCUUGGAAAUAAAUGUAUAAGUAUCUCCAACAAUAUUAACAUCAUCACCAGCACAAAGAGCAAUGUAAUCGCACAAGUAGGAUUUGGAGAAGGUAGAGUGUAUGCAGACCUCACCCCUACAUUGUGUAGGUAGGAGGCUGUUUUUAUUAGACCUCAGCUCAAGGCAAGCAUUUGUGUAGGUAGAGAGGCUGUUUUUAUUAGACCCUCAGCUCAAGGCAAGCAUAUACAUAGCAUAUAUGCAAACAUAAUUAAGUAAUUUAAAAAUGUAAACUAGCUAUGACAGCCUCUGCUGACAUUUUAGUGUCAGAAUUAUUUUAUUUUAUUUUUACCCUCCCUAGGAGGCUCCCACCCCCUUUUGCUCCCUUGGUGACUCGAACUCGCAACCUUUGGGUUGGAAUUGAGGGGUACUUACCAUCUGAGCAACUCCCUCUAAAAAUAAUACUCUAAAAAUCAGAAUUGUAAAAAUCAUGUAUUUUACAAGAAUAUCAUGAUACAUGUUGGAUAUUCAGUAUUGUAAGAUAUCAAUGGAUCCACAGAAUGAAUAGGUACAACCAUAAGAUACCUAUGGUUAAUGAUUCUAAUGAUAUCAUAGUGUACCUAUCACCUAUAGAAAAAAUAUUGCUUUGGAUAAAGCAGUUGCCAAGAGAUACUAAAAAAACCACCAAUUCAAUCACGCAGAUUAAUUGAAGACAAGAGAUGAAGCUGACUAGUCUAAAGAAUCUCUUAUUGGUUGGACUAAAGGUUACAAAGAAAAGAGGUUAACCCACUUUACAAUGUAAAGUUAUCAGAUAAAGUCCAACUCCCGACCUCCCCCCACCCCCAAAAAAAAAAACAACUUAAGCACUUAAAAUCCUAGACAACUAUUGAUUGUUUGAUCAAUAGUAGCACUAGUAUGAAUCAAAUAGUAGUGUUUGCUCUAAAGAUUCUGAUAAGUGGUUGGAAGUUUGGGAAACCAGAAAUUGCUAAAGAUGGAAAGUAACUUGACACGCACAUACUAAAUUAUGUCAAAGAUAGGGUUUCCUCAAAUAUAAGAUUUCGUGGAAAAAAACAGAGAUACCUAUAUUAUAUCUAUUGAAGGCCACACAAUAUGCCUCUUAACAUGACCUUCAGAUUCCUUAAUUACUAAUUAGUUUGAGUACCACCACAUACGGCUGAACUGUUCUGCAAAAGCAUACACACUUCAAAUCCUAGAAGUACAGAUAUGAAGUGAUAUAAUAGUCUUCAGCGUUUAGAAGAAGAAAAUGUGCUUUUACAAAAUUUAAUGACAACCAAGUCAUCUGUAUGUGAAAAGCACUUCGAACAAGUUGCUAACAGUUAUGUUCAUCUAGAAUCUUCAAUAAUACAAAUGGCGUAUUAACUUGUAAGUUAUGAUAUGUUGGUGAAAAAUUCAAUAGAUAUCUCCCUCGAAUUAUCAAAUAAAAGUGAGGAGGUACUAGGAUUACUCAAAAUGACUUACCUUCAGCUUUUUGUUGUUCUUUGUCUCAGUGUACAUUUGAAUUUCAAUAGCAUAAACCUCCAAGAGCUGAGUCCCUUUCUUUUGAUCAUCAGUACCAUCAGCUUUUUGACAAGAUCUGUGAAGCUCCUUCAUAAUCUUCCGUGGGUAAAAUAAAAGGAAUUAUAGAAAAGAGUCAACCAUGAUAGCUUUGUAAUAUGUGAAAAACUAAGGAUGUAUAUACAAACGACACCAUACCUUGUUCAUUUUACCAUACUCACCCAUGUCAAACCAGAUCUUGCAAAGCUUAAGAUUUGUCUUAAACCACAACCUCUGCACAUUGACAAUUAUUUCUUUAGCAAAACAUCCAUGAAUAGCAAACCAACCUUCACCCUGGAAAGGGAGCAGAUAUAUGUUGUAAUCAAAUAAUGUAUUAUCUUACUUCAUUUUUAGCCUCUUCAAGGGCUUUCAGUGUGGUUUCAUAGAACUCCCUCAACAAACCAACAUUCUGACUAGCUGAGCCAGAGACAAAAUCCAUUAUGUUGUUGAUGCACUUCUCGCUGUAAUUUCGCGUUACCGCUGAUAUAAUAUAAGUAAGCAUUUCCCUGUAAGCGUCCAUCAUCUGCUUAUACCUCCCUAAACGAUAAUAAAUUUUGACUGUCUGCUUAAGAGCUUUAAAACCCCUAAUCAAGACACAAGAAGGAAGAUCAUAAGCCAUGAACCCAUUGAAAUCGUAGUGUAAAAGCAGUUCAAUGUUGAAAAUUGGGACUGAUGAAGAUAAUGCAAUAUCCUAAAAACAAAUUCAAAUUAAAGCUGAUACUGAUCAAAUGGAAUAUAAUGCCAAAAAAAGGAGCCAAGACCUAGAAGAUUGUUAGGAAAAAUGCUAUGUCAUGUCUUAUAUACAACUCAUUACAAACAUCGCCAUAUUAUGUUUCAAACCAUACGCUUUGAUAAGAAAAUGGACCUUGGGUCUUAGUCAAUUUCAGAAGCUAGCUCAUGAGUUGAGAACCACCCAAGAAUAUAUAAGAAGACCAGAUACCCACCCCAAAAGCCAACGUGGGAACUCAACACUCCCGCACACCCAGGUUUGGACAUCUGAAGAGUGGACAAUAUAAGAUGGGGCCCAUGGAUAAACAAUGAAUUGGGAUGGGACUAACUUUGAUAUCAUGAUAAGAAAAUGGACCUUGGGUCUCUCCGUCAACCCCAAAGCUAGCUCCUGAGGUGAGGAUUGCCUAAGACUAAAAGGAGACUAGAUACCCAUCCCACGUGGGACUCAACAGGCUUGGUAUGGUUUAUCCAAAAGAUGUUAAAAUCAUAUCACAUAGGAACACAUAAAAUGUUUAACUAGAUUCAAACUCUCUUUUCUAGCUGAUUUGCUGUGAUAAGGCUCGAGUUACUAAAAGACACGGAAGACGUCAUGACAAAAUUAGAUAAACGUUACACAAUGCAUCCUCUAUUUGACUACUUCAUAAAAUAGUAGAUAUCCAAAGUAAAUCCACAAAAUUGAAGAUAGGCAAAUGGGUAGCAUGGAAGAGAUCUAAUAAGUAAUUAAAAGUUGUUACAAGGACUACCAAAUCCUUUUCGUUGCACCUUUAAUAGGUAGUUCUUGGAACAACUUUAGUUACAAGGUCAACAGUCAACUAAUAAGUGGAUUUAUAUCAGUUGACUCUAUCAACCUACAAAGUUGACUGUUGUUUCAGCACUUUAUCGUCAGUACUCAAGUCCUUUGUUUACUUGGUUACUUUCAGUUGGAAUAUUAUCUAAGGCAGUUUCUUUUUGGUCUCUUAGGCUUUUCGUUUUGUGUCUGAUAGUUCUUUUGGCAUGUAGCAUCCCACUAUAAAAAGCUUGGGCAGCAAGCGUUAGAGAAAUUAUUACCACCCAACAAGUUUUGAUUUCCAGCCAGUGAGCUCAGUUCAAAAGCAUGAUUUUUUCUUGGGGCUCAAAUGUUAAGUAGUCAGUAGGUUAGAUAGGCCUACAAACUUUUCCUUCUAUUAAACAGAUUUUGCAUGUAGCAUAGUUUAUGUAUGGGAAACUAACCAACAACACCGAUUUCUAAAAGAAAAUUAGUAAGACCAUUGGAAUGAACUUCAUACUCAUAGGCUGUAAAUUACCAUUCUGCCUUCUCAGGUUCCAUUUGUACCACCUCCGCGAAUCCCUCAAGUGCACCCUCUGGAUCCGUCUCAACCAUACCUGGAAAUCAGGGCAAUAGAGAAGAAGCUCUAGAUUUAGAAAGCAGGAAUGAAAUUACAAUCACUGUAAUAUAUGUCGAACUAAAAAUGACAAAAUAAUGUAUUACAUAAACAAAAGUUUCAAUUUACAUAAUCAAAAGUGGAUACUGAGUUAGCCAGCACAUACAUGACACAACUGUGCCCCAAUCACAGGUAUAGUAAUGACAAUUUCUUCCUUGUUAUGAUGUUAUCUGUAGAACUCAGUUUCUUCACCGAAGUUCUAAAAAACAUUUGCUGAUGAAAUUCAUUUCAAACCUCUGCUGGAAUCAAGAGAAAUCAAGGGAAUGGAAAGUUGCACAAUUUUCCUUUUAAGUAUUAGGUUUGCAAGGAGAAAGAGGAAAUAAUGUAGAGGAAUCCAAUAUUUGUUGGACCAACUUCUUUAAUUGAAUAAAAAGUGUUAAAGUUAAAAUUUCAUAAAAAGCAAACUCAAGUUACUUCACGACCCAGAGAUUAAGGAGGCUUGUCAAAAGUUUAAGGGUAUGAUCAAGUCAAGAGAACCAUUAAGAAUAUUGUGCAGGAAAGUUUUAAUGAUUAUAACACAACUAUUUGGAAUCCCAAGAAUUAGAAAACUUCCAUUAUUACAUGUAGCUUAGACUCCUUUAUAAGAAGGCCGUGUACAUGUUAUUAACCACUCAAUUCAAUAAGAAGUUCUCUCUUGUUUUUCUUGUUUUUUUAUAUAGCAAGAUUGUUAAGUAGAGAAACUAAGAAAAAAGUUGAUAGGAAGUGACCUUCCAACUUCUAUAGUUGAGCACCGAUGGAGAGAAUAAUUUUAGGAAGUAGAAAUAAUUUCAUUCAGAAAGAUGGAAAGUAAUGGUGUUAAGUAAGUACAGAGUAGUAUAAUUCCAUUAAAAAGUUAAGAUAGAUUGUAUUUCAGAUUUUUCAUUUUGGUAUAAAGAAGUUUGGGUAGAUUAUACUGAACCAAUCUUACAGUUUUUGGAUCUCUAUUUAAGUUUUACAAGGUGAUGCCUAGUUUUGUGUAAAUACUGCUUCCAUAUUGUUACCUUUAUCAAAAAUAAAAAAGGAGAAGUAAGAACGGAGUAGCAAUGGGGUCGGAAAACGGUAAACCCUUGUGACACUUCAUUUAUUUAAAUGACUAUGGAGAUAAAGCAUUGAUGAGGACAGGUGAUAAAGGCAAAGUAUGAGGAAAAAGAUUUUUCAGUACAAGAACAGUAAAUACUAUCCAUGGUCCAGGACAACCUAAUUGAAUCUAAGUAAAAGUUUACCAACUUCAAAGUUCAACAAUUAAUGGAGAGACACUUGUGUGCUCUGAUUCAACUUUAAGUUAUCUAUUUCACAUGUACCAUGUUUUCACAAGAUUAUCUCUAGUUGACGGAGGCGGAGGUAGGUGGGAUCAAGAGCUGCGAAAAACUACAUUGUAUACAUAAGGUUAAAAUUAUCUUUUUAUGUUUAUAUACUAUAUGUUAUCUUGACUUCUUAUGUGUUUACUUCUUUGUAUUUUUUAAUACCCUUAGUGAAAAUACUCGUUCUGCCACUAAUAGUGGCCUCCAAAAUUAUUAAUAAGGAUAACCAGCAAGUGACUCAAUCAACAACAUUAGCUUGUGAAUUAUACAAAGAUCAUUGAUCAUCAUCAUCAACAACAACAACAUACUGAGUGUAAUCCAAUUACACUAGUGAGGUCUAGGUAGGGUAGGAUGUAAGCACACCUUACCCCUACCUUUGUGGGGGUAGAGAGGUUGUUUCCAAUAGUACACUGAUCAAUGUUUCAAAAUAGCAGAUCAACCAUCAAAUUACCCCAGAAAACCCAACUAACAUGGGGUGUUGUAGCUGAUAAAUUUGCACAAAUUUCAUAAUUACCUUUUGAAUUGUAAUACUGAUUCUCAAUAUCAACAUCCUGCUCCUCCUGGUCCUCGUCCGAAUACUCAAAUCCGUAAUCCUCCAUAUCAGCAUCUAACACAUACAAAUAAUAUCAGUAUAUACGUAAAGAAACAAAACCCAUGUCUCAAAAUUUCAUCUUUUUUCUAUUUACACACCAAAAUUUUACUUUUUUCAUAAAAAAAAAACUGAUCAAACUUUGCAGAAAUUUGGGCAUAUAGCGGAAAAAACUCCAAUCAAAUUAAUUUUUUUUAAUAUAAAAUUGAAAUUCUGACCUGAACCCAUGUUUCGUAGAAGAAGUACAGAGCCCUUUGAUUUGCUUCGUUAUGGAUUUGUGAGAAAAUCAGAGUGAAUGAAGCUUCGGGGGAUUUUGUGUUCCUUUAUAUUUCUUCUAAGAAUUUGCCCAAAGGCUAUAUAUAAGUAUUGUUUUUAUUUUAAAAAAUGGUAUUUUGAAUUUGUUUAAACCUACUAAAUAAUUGUAAUAUAAAAAAUGCACUAAAUGAUUAAAUAAAAUAUGAACAGCUACGAUCAAAUAUAUAUAUAAAAAAUAAACGAAAUAUAAACGGUCAAGAUUAAAACAUUCAUUAAUCGCAAAUAAAUGAGACUUUGAUGGGCCUGAAUAGUAAUAAUGGGAAAAUUGUAUAUAAUAACAAAUUAUUAAUUCAAAUUAAAUGUUAUAAACAUAGUUUGAUUUAAUUAUACUUCAUAACAAAGUGUUGUUAUUAAGCCUCUCUCUCGCUUUUAUACAAAACAAAUGUAUAAAAUGUGUUUGUGUUUGUAUAAAGCAAAAGAAAAUUGUAUAUAUACAUUAUUUUCGUUCCCCUCUCUCCCCUCUCCCAGAUCUCGCUCGCCACUCUCCCAGAUCUCACUCGCCUCUCUCAUUUUAUACAAACACAAAUGUAUACAUUGCGUUUGUGUUUGUAUAACGUGAGAGAAAAUUGUAUAUAUAAAUACAAAUGCAUAUAUUUUCGUCCUAUACACUUAUGAUUAUACAAAUAUGAUCUUCCCCUGCCCAGUUUUCUUUUGUCUUUCUCUCUUUCUCGCUUUAUACAAACACAGAUUAUACAAUUGAUUCUUUUGUAUAUGUAUAUCGAAACAGAUUGUACAAUUGCUUCUUUUGUAUAUAUGUAUAGCGUUUGCUAUGGAACGCAAUUAUGCAAACUAUAGAUAUAACAUACAAAUAUGAUUUUUGUGUUUGCUAUAUGUGAAAGUUGCUCAUAAAUAAUUAGGAUAUAUACUUAGGUCUUAAUAUUGUCUGAAUAUUUAUUUAAUAUUUUAUAAAAAAAAAAAAAUGACAAUUUUUUGUUAUUUGAUCAACUUUCACUACUAAAUAUCGUCAUCUAUCAUAAUUAUAAAUAACUAUACCAUUUACAAUCAUUACAACUAGAGCCGUCAAUAUGGGCUAGACCCGUUGGGUCGGCCUGGCCUAACCCGGGAUUUAAUAGGGCUGGGCUAAGAUUUUUGGAGCCCAUUUAAGAAAAGGGCUUUUUAGCCCGGCCUGAAUAAGCCUACUGAUUUGUGGGGCUUGAGAAAUAUAGGUAGGGCCGGCCCGUGGGCCAAAUAAAAAUAAUUAAAAAAAUAUAAUAUAAUAUUAAAAUUAAAAUUAAAAAGAGUCCAAACUCAAAAUCUAUUUAAUAUUUAACUAAUUGAAACCGCAUAUAAAUUGCAGAUGAAAAUGAAGAUGUUAAGACAACCUUGCCACAAGCUGAUUCAGAUAUGUUUGAUGAAGAUGAUCAUGAAGUGUUUUUAAAUUAUAAUUUAUAAUUUAUUUUAAUAAUUAUAAAAAAAGUAUAAUUUUAAAAAAAGUGGGCUGGCCCGGCAAGCCUGUAGCCCCACGUACUUGUGGGUUGGGCCGACCAUUUUCUGGCCCACACCAAAAAUGGGCUAGCCCGGCCUGACCCGUAAAAUGUAAAAGCCUGUAUGGGUUAGCCCGAAUGGGGUGGGCUAGCCCAUAUUGACAGCUCUAAUUACAACCACUAUCACUAAUCAGUUAGUCAUCACCCCCAUGGCACCACCGACCACCAUUAUAUAUCACCAUUCGUCAUCACCAUCAACAUUAUCAUCAAUCAAAUUAUCAGUUUUUGUUGUCAAACUACCACCAGUUUGUAAUAAAUAAUAUCAUUUUCAAUCGACAAAGCACAAUAAACAGUCAUAUGUGUUUUUAAAAAAUAUUUUAUUGAUAUAGAAUUAUAUUACUUUAAUUUAAAAACAAGUUUUAUGUAUUUAGAAUUUGGUAAAAUAAGUUAUCUUAAUUAUUUAGUAUUUAGAGUUUAAUACAACAUUUUAAUUUUUAAAUUCAUAUGUCUAAAUUUUAUUACACAUCUUUACUAUUUAAAUGUGUAUUUAAAUAUUUAAUUUUUUUUAUUAAUAAGUAUUAUAAACAAGGCUUUUGCAAUAAUAAAAAGAGAAGGAGGAGUUGAAAUAAAAACGGAAAAGGGUCAAAAAUAACCUUGAACAAUUCGAAAAGGUUCAAAUAUACCCCUCAUCCACCUAUUGGGUUAAAAAUACCCCUCAGUCCACCUUUUUGGUCCAUUUUUACCCUUAAAACUAACACCCUUUUAUUUUUUUUAAUUAUUUUUUAUUAUUAUUUAUUACGUGGCAUCUUCUAAUUGGAUAAACUAAAUUCCUACCCAUUAAAUUUCCUUCAUCCGCCCCGACCCAUAUCUAUAGCCCCAUCACCCAAACUCAAUUUAAAGACCCUUUAAAAAAAACAUCUCUUUCUCACUAAAGCUAUUUCAGUAUCACCCAUCAACUACAAGAAGAAGCAUUUUCAGCUACUUCAACUGCUGUGUGAAAGCUUGAAUUUGAUUAGGAUUGAUUUUUGAGUAUUUUUCUAACUUUGUUGUAAGAUAAUAUUUCAAGGUUACUUUAUGGUAACUCUUCCAAGAAAUAUCAAACUUAUUCUGGCUUUUGAAGAUUGUGAAAAAAAAGAAGAAGCUAUUUUAGGACCAAGUUAAAGAAUUAAGCAACUUCAUUUGAUGUAUAUGUUUCUUUCUUAAAAACCACGUAUCAGCUAUUCAUGUCUCUGUCAAUUUCUUAAAAGAUAUUGUGGUGUUCUUGGUGGUCUGUGGUGCAGGGAGAAAGUAAACUAUCAUAAUAUUAUGCCCAAAUACAGUUGUUAGCUAACCUUUUUUCAUCAAUUGAUUAAUUAUGUAGCAGGGCAUGUGGGUGAUCAUUGAUAUUAAGUGCAGUAUAUUGUUUUUCAUUUAAAUUUUUUUGGUACACAAUUUUCAUUCCUGCAAGAAGCUAUAAGAUGGAGAAAGAGAGGUUAAUAUAUCCUUUAUUUUUAAUGGGUUUUUAAAUUGGGUUUUGGGUUAUGGGCUAUGGAUAUGGGUCAGUGGGUAGAGGAAAAUCUAAUUGGUUGGAAUUUGGUUUUAUCCAAUAGGAAGAUGCCACGUAAUAAACAUUAAUAAAAAUAAUUAAAAAUAAAAGGGUGUUAGUUUUAAGGGUAAAAAUGAACCAAAAAGGUGAACUGAGGGGUAUUUUUAAUCCAAUAGGUGGAUGAGGGGUAUAUUUAAACCUUUUUGAAUAGUUCAAGGGUAUUUUUGACCCUUUUCCGAAAUAAAAAUUAUGAGCAAUAUUUGUGAGGAAUACUUAUCACCAUCAUUAGAAAAUGUUGCUUGAUAACUUUGAAAUGGGGUAAAUAUGAUUGCAUCAAGCUUUAAAUUUGGGUAUUCUAUACUAGCUCGGCUAGAUAAAAAAUUGAUGCACGUUGUACCUUGAAUCUCAAAAAUUGAGUCUGAUGAUCAGUGUAUUGUCAUGAUCAUAUAUUAGCUCAAUUUUAUUGACGACUUCAAGGCGAAACAAAAAAAUUCUUAGGGCAAAGGGCGUUUCAUCCUCCAACUCCUACCACCUCUUCUGGAGACAAAAAUUAGGACAUGACCUUCAGGAAAUGAGUCAUUUAGUAGUUGAUAAUCGAAUAAAUAACAAAUUAAAUAUUCAAGUAAAACUAAUAAAGAGAAGGAGAAAAUAUUUUUUAUUAAUUAAUCUAGUUGAUCGAUAGCAAGUAAUGAUAAUGAAUAAUGAUUUGUGGUUAUCGACGUAAUGAAAUGAAAUUUCUAACAUUUCAAAAUUAGAUGACGUUGAAAUGACGAUUGUAUGGGGACCUUAUAUUUUUACGUGGAUUAUCACUAUCUGAUUCAAUUUUUGACUAAACAAACAUAUAUUAACUCAUAAUUGACUAUAAAUUUCUUUUGCGCUUAUCAUGUAUCUGGUCAAAAAAUAUUCAUUUGGUACAUUAAUUACCAAUAUAGUCAAAUAUAUAUAUAUAUAUAUAUAUAAACACACUUAUUUUUGCUUAUUUUAGUACAUUUAAAUAAUUAUUUCUCCAAAAUACAAGAUGUGUAUUCUCCAAGAAGAAGUUAUUACAAAAUUUUACACAUUGCAUAUCAAAGGUAACAAAAAAUGGUCUUCAACUGAUAGAGGGAAUCAUUGGUCAAAUAUUAUUUAAUUUUUAAAAAUAAAUCUAACCUAAUAAAUUUGUCAAUUACAAUAUUGAUUAGUCCGAGAUUUGGACUCAUUUAGGGCAUUGUUUUGAUAGUUUUAGUGUCCUUAAAUGCCUAAUUUAUGCUAUAAACUGAUGUUAAAGCCUUGAUUUCCAGGUAUGUGAGUUAAGGAGCAAAAUAAGGACACUAUCAGGCAAAAUGGAGCAUAACAAGCUGAAGAAGUGAAGAAAGACAAUCCUGGCGAUCACCUAGACCACUCGGCGAGUCGCCAAGUGGCUCUUCAGCCCGCCUAAAGCUCCAGUGUGCCAGCCCUGAGGGAAAAAACCAAGUCGGCGACAGGAAUAGGCAGUCGACAAAUCGCCGAUCAGUUUCACAAUGAUAAAAUGGAUCGCCCAAAGUUACAGGUCUUGGGGAUGUUGAGAACCAAUGCAUAAUGGUGAUGGAAGAGAUCAAAGGACGGAUCGCCAAACCACUCGGUGAGCCCAACUUAUCUCGCCUAAUGGUCUUUCAGGAGAAAUUUUGGGCAACUAUAAAUUGAAUUUUGAAUUGUAAAUUGAGCAUCUUACUACCAAUGAUGAGAGUUUUCUUUUGAAUUUUAGAGUUCCAUUGUUGACUUUGAAGCUUUUUGAGGCUCAAUUUUGAGGAAUGAUAUUUAUAUAUAUAUAUAUAUAUAUAUAAAUCUUUUACUAAACUAUCUCUAUUUAAUAAAUAUUUUUUGAGAAUUGAACACUAUUAAAAAGAUGAAGUGUAAGGAAUUGUUUGGUACACAAUAAGCACACAUAAAAUGAGAUAAAAUGAAUAUACCAAAAUUAAACUCGAGAUAUUCCAUUUUGUUCUGCAUAUCAAACGACUCCUAAGGGUAUAAAUGGAAAAAAUAUAUAACUUUUUAUCUUAAACUUUUAAGGUGAUAUGAAUUUUGAAACUUUUUUAAUGGUCGAAGUGACACUUAUUUUAACGCGGAGGGAGUAAAAAUAAAAUUUAUUGAAAAACUUCUUAAAUAAACAAAUAUACUCCUAUUUAUUGUAUCUCACCAAAAAAAAAAAAAAACAUCAUCAGAGAGAAAACUGGAAAAUAGAUGAAUUUUUUUGAAGGCUGAUGAUCUGAAGAACAUUUCAGUUAAAGUUUCAUUCUUUUUCUCCAUAAUGGAAGGUACUAAAAUUCUUCUCUCUCUGGUUAGUUGAAAUCCUUUAAUUUUUGUGUAUUAUUUGACUUUGGCUUUAAAUUUUUUGACUGAAAAUGGACUUCAUGUCGUUGAAGCAAUAAAUGUCAAUCUCUGAUUUUUAAUUUAUUUAUUUUUUUGGUGAUUUUUUGAAUGGUUAAUGGUUGGUGAUCUCUUGCAUUUUUAGUUUGUGGAUAUGGGUUUGGACUGAAUGUAGUUUUUUUUUGUGAGGAAGGAAUAAAGGUUACAUCUUGGAAUUGGGAUAUUUCUGAAUUUUUGUGAUGGUUAACGGUUGGUGAGUUGUGAUUUUAGUGGUAAUUUUUGUGAGUUUUCUGAGUUUGGGUUUCUGGGUUUUACUGAAUAGACUCCAUGUGGAGAGGGAGCUGAGUUUCAUAUGGAAAUGGCCUCUCUAUCUGUGCAAGGUAGGGGUAAGGCCUGCGUACACUCUAGGCUACCAGACUCCACUUGUAGGAUUCAUUGGGUAUGUUCUUGUUGUAGACUCCAUGUAAGGAAGGAACAAAAGCUAAUUUUUGAACCUCAUGGCAAGGUAUGAGACUUGAGUCCCACGUCGGUUUUAACGGGGUGCUGAUGUGGGGCUUAUAAGCCUUGGGAUCUCCCACCUUAAUAACUAGCCUUUGAACCUCAUAGCAAGGUAUGAGACUUGAGUCCCAUGUCGGUUUAAUGGGCCGUUGAUGUGGGGCUUAUAUAACCUUGGGUUUACCCACCUUAAUAGCUAGCUUUUGGGGGAGUGGUUCUCGCCCUUAAUGCUCAGUGUGCCUUGGACGGUGAUGCUGAUAUUGUAUUGUUGACUCGGAGCUAGAAAUGAUUGACGGAUGCAUAGCAUGGUGGUUUGUUAAGAUCCUAUUGCAAUGCAUGGGACUUGAGUUCCCUCAUCUGUUUAAUGGGGAGGUGAUGUGGGGCUUAUAUAGCCUUGUGCUCUCCCACCUCAAUAACUAGCUUUUGUUGGGUAAUAAUUGGUGCCUUUUGUAGCUUUGCUGUGGUAUGGUAUAGAAAUUAUGGUUUGAUCCACUUACUGAAAGAGAAUUAUGGCGUGACCGUUGACUGAAGCUGAGUUUUCGAUCUUAAUCUCAGAGUAUGUAGCUCUUGAAAAUUUUUUUGCUUCGGAAAAAGGAAAACUUUGUUGAAUUGUUCUUCUGGAAAAAGGAGCGUAGUGAUAACAGAGAUUUUUUAUAACAGACCCAAUUAAAUUUUUCUCCUCCCACUGUCCUGACCCUAGUCUUGGCUCCAUCCUACGUCCUCACUCGUCCUAGUGUACACCACAAGUACACCUAUAGUCUCCAAUCAUCUCCAUAGAACCUCCUUUGGGGCUUUGUUGUAAGCCUUCUCUAGGUCGAUCAACACCAUAUGCAAAUCCCUCUUCCUCUCCCUAUGCUACUCCACGAGUCUCACAAGGUGGAUGACUUCUGAUCUGUGAUAACCCCCACAUGAAUCCAAACUAGUUCCUCGAAAAUAGACACACCCCUCCUCACCCUCAUCUCCACCACUCUCACACUUUCAUAGUAUGGCUUAGCAGCUUGAUACUCAUAUUAUUUACUUGAUGCUGAAAUAAGUAAGUUUAGUUGAUGUAAUUGAAUUCAUUAGCCUUCUCAUUAUUUUGUUCUUUUCAUCUUUAAUAAGUAGCUCUAAAGUCGGUGUUUCCCAAAUGUCCUCGUCCCAUAUUGAUGUUUUUGCUUUAGACUUAUUCUUGGAUGAAUGAAUAGUUGAUAAUUGUUCAUAUUUUUGUCUGUUCAAUAACAUCUCUAGCAUUCAUAACCAUAAUAACCUUCUUCGUCUCUUAUUGAAGUUGAGCCUAUUAUUGUCCUGAAACAGGCAAGGAGUGUGUAUAGUAUAAAUUAUAUCGAAUGCAUCCACUUUUUAGGUAUUGUUAGAAGAUUCUUAUCAGUAAAAUCCUGUAAAUACGCUUAACCAUCAGCUUCUGAUUAUUUGCACUAAAUUGACAGGUGGAUCCCCAGAUCGAGAAUCCGUGGAAUCUGGGACAAAAAAGUCUAGUAUUUCUUCAGGUGGGAGAGUCCAAGAUCGCAAAGAAUUUCUCCGUAGGUUUGUAGAUAGCGAAAGCCUGAUUGAAAACCUUAAGACAUGGUAUGAAGAGGUACGAGAGGAACCUCCCUUUGAUGUUCCUUUUGAAUUGAUAGAUCUUCAAAAAUUUGAUUAUGCUUUGGAAGGAGUUCCAUUUCAGCAGCUGAUUCGAAUGCCUAGAGCGAUCUAUGACUCAGCUUCUGGUGCUGUGGAAGCAACUGCUUAUCUUGCCCUUGAAGAUUUUCUACAUGCAAGUGUGAAGAGUUUAUGGGAGUCAUUUUGGGGUCAGGAUGAACCUCUGCCUUUCUAUGUUUCUAGUAUCUACAAUUCAAACUUGAGAUUCUACCAGGCUGAGAAAGCCAUUGCUAAAGGGAGAGUUGGAGGUCUUUGUGCUACAGCUAUAAUGCUAAAGAACCCAAAGCAUCCACAAGGGAAGUGGGAUGAUGUUUUGCAACUUGCUAUUCUAAGGCCUGAUAUAGGAAACCGUGCUACAGUAGAGAAUGACUGUAAGCCUUCUCUCUCAGUUUUAGGUGAAGCUUUAUUCUUUACAGUACGUGUAUUGCUUGCAAGAAGCUUCAGCAGAUACAAUAUUCCUCUCAGUUUGAAUUCUGUAUUUGUUCUUUUAGUUGACUCUCAAUAUGGUGGAGUCAUGAAAGUUGAAGGAGAUAUAACCAAGUUGGAAAUGGAUGUGAAUGAUGUUUAUGGUUGUGCUGCUGAAUGGAUAAAAAAUAAUGCUUUAAUUACAAUCUCCCCCGUUGAUAGAAUCUGGACCAAAUUCGGAAAUGCUAAUUGGGGAGAUAUUGGUGCUUUACAGGUACUUUUUGCUACUUUCCACUCAAUCACUCAGUAUGCUGGAAUGUCAACGAACUCAGUUGAAGAUUUGGCUGCUGACCACAGUUCUCAUCUUCAAGCAAGAAGAAUUGAAAGGCAAUUGUGGGAUAGCAGGUCGAAUGGAAAUGGUUCAUUUCGCCUCGAGCAGCAUAGUGCUUCACAUGAAAUUGUAGAAGUGCAUGAAGAAUCUGUCAGGUUGGUAUCUGAAAAGUCUAUGAAUCUGGAGGUUGGUUCUGUCUUGCUGAUAGAAGACUCAAACUGGCAGAAGGGUUAUCAGAUCAACGAAGUCCUGACUGAUGGAGAGAUUACAUAUUAUAUUGCAUCUCCUGUUGAAGAUCCAGGUAAGGCUUUAUUUCUGUAUGUAGGUUCGCAUCCUUCUCAGCUGGAACCAGCAUGGGAAGAUAUGAAGCUAUGGUAUCAAGUUCAGAGGCAAACUAAGAUAUUAAAAAUUAUGAAGCAAAAUGGGUUAUCUAGCAAAUAUCUGCCGCAAUUGAGUGCAUCUGGCCGGAUAGUUCACCCUGGCCAGUGCAGAAGACGAAAUGGUGGUAAUUGUGAUUACCCAUGGUGUGGAACCCCCAUUCUAGUGACUACCUCAGUGGGUAUAACAGUUGCUGAUAUGGUGAGAGUUGGCCAAUUUGGUAAAGAUGAGGCUAUCAGGUGUUGCCAUGACUGCCUAUCUGCCCUUUCAGCAGCUGCCUCAGCUGGCAUUCGGCAUGGUGACCUCAGGCCUGAGAAUGUUAUUUUUGUUACACCUGGUGUGGGGCAACCUUAUUUUGUUCUUGUUGGUUGGGGACAUGCUCUUUUAGAAGAGAGGGAUCGUCCUGCAAUGAAUCUCCAUUUCUCCUCUACGUAUGCCCUUGAAGAAGGGAAAUUGUGUUCAGCUUCCGAUGCUGAGAGUCUAGUUUACAUGCUCUACUUUUCGUCUGGUGGGGAGAUGCCUGAUCUUGAUUCAGUUGAAGGAGCAUUGCAAUGGAGGGAAACCUCUUGGUCAAGAAGGCUAAUCCACCAAAAGCUUGGAGAUAUUUCUACAGUCUUGAAAGCAUUUGCAGAUUAUGUUGACAGCCUUUGUGGAACGCCCUAUCGUAUGGACUAUGAUAUCUGGCUUAGAAGGUUAGAGAGACAUAUUCAUGGAAAGGAAAUUGAAACAUCAAGUUAGAAAUUUGUUUUCGUUCAGCGCUGAAGCCGAGCAUUACCCUUAGGGCAACCUCUUAGAUUAUCUGAACAUACUGGAAGAUAGUUCUACCAGUAACCAAUUGAAUUAAUUUUUGGCCCUGAACUGUGUAAUUGUUUUGCCUAUGGAUAUGGACUUGGACAUUGUUCAAGAAAGCAUUCUAUAUCUGUAAAUGGAACAUAUCAUUCAUCACCUUAAUGAGACUCCAUGGUGCAGUUGAAAUAGUCAAUGAAUCUUUAUUCUUUGUUCAUUGGCAUUGUUAUUUCUUGCUUAUAGUGAUUUUCUUAUUGUUCAUCAUUCAUAUUAAUUGAAGUAUGAGCAAAAUUUACUAGAACAAUUUAAAGUAUUAAAAAAAGAAGAUAAAUAGUUCCUUUAAACUAGGGUAUGUUGUUCAUUUUAGCUAAUGUCUCAUAUGUAUUUUCUUUUUUUUGCCCACUUGUCAUCAUUGUGGUUAACAAUGUUUCGAUUAUUGCAUUAUUUUGUUGUUCUUGUUCCUUUCUUGUAGGCUAUACAUUGUUUAGUUGCCAUGAUUUUUGCAUUGUUUUCUUCUUCUUUGCACUUGAAUUUGUUGCAUUUGAGCCGAGAAUUUUUUGGAAACACACCCUCUACCCUCUACCCACAAGGUAGCGGUAAAAUCAGGUCUGCGUACACUCUACCUUCCCUAAAUCUUACUAGGUAAGUUGUUAAAUAUUCAACAAGAUGUAUUGGAAAUGUAUCAAUACACACAUUUCUUUGCCAUCAGUCUAAAACUUGGAUUGAGUUUACUUUCAUGGCAUGUACAAUCAACAUGCCAUUUUAGUGAAAUUCUUCACUCAAUCGAAGCAAAUAUAUAGCAAUCUGACAAGAGAUAAGGAUCCCCAGUUGAGGGGAAAAAGACAGCAGCCAUAUGUCAAAGAUACAAAUUGCUAAAUACCGAGAAUUCCCCAUAUAAGACUGCAACAUAUCCUCUUGAUCUAAGAAAGUUACGUGUACAGAUUACAGUCAACAGUGAAAACAAUAUAAGAUCUCUUUCAUCACUUAAAACAAUCGGCAUACAGGUGCCAAAUUCCAAACAUGACAGCCAGAGCAGACUAUUUGAUUCAGUUGAUAAAAGAAGUAAAUAGAGAGAGCGGAGUUGUAUUUGCGUCAUUAGUCUGCGUCCAUCUCUUCAAGUGCAGCUUUAGCUGCAGCCUUGGCUUCCUCUAACAGAUCUGCGGGAACCUAUGGCAACAUCAAAUAUAUCAGCAUGAGUUCCUAACCGGAUCUUUUAUUUCAGUUUAACAUCAAGUAACAUUCAUUCAUCAUUAUGAAUAUACAUGCACGCAGACAAAAUAAAGAUGGAAAAUUACAAAAAAAAUAACUAAGCUAAAAUAAAGAUAAUAUUUGCUCUAAUAUCUCCUCACUUGUGUGGCAGGUCCAACCAAAACUAAGAAAAUGCAGACAGAAUAAUAGCAUUUGACAUAGAAUACCAGUUUCUAUGGGAAGUGUACCCAAGAAGGAUCCUGAAUUACCUUCUGGUGCUGCCGGUUAGACUCAUCACACACCCAACUCAUUUCCAGUUCAAAUGCCUUGUCCUUUGCCUCAUCAUGAACUCCGUAAAUUCUGGUUAACAGAUAUAACUUAUUGUCAAAAAGCUGAACAAUAAAAUCAUGCAGCACCAACUACUAUAAAUUAUAUGGACAAAACUAUAAAUUUAUGAACCUACAGAUAAGCAUAGCGUUACCACUUCAUCAACCUAAAUUGGUGCUCCCAAAUGUUAAAGACAGAUUGAAUUUUCACUUGCAACUAAACAAUCUCAUUGUAACGCUAAGAUUGUGAUGGGCUGCCCAAAAAUAUUGAAAUAACCAAAGGUUGAGGAGAAUUGGAACAUGUUCUGUAAACUGAUUUGCAGGCAUUUCUCAAUGUCAAAAAACAACAUAUACACACAUGACACAACUAGUUCGUGUGUUUGCAUCAGUGUUAAAUGUCCACAACAAAUAUUACCAUGAAUCGAAUUGAAAGUUCAAUGAGAACAAUUACUUACAUUUUGGCUACCUCAAUAACCCCUUGCCGGCACGUCAUUUCAGAGAGCUUCAACUUCUCAAUUUCACUGCCAAGAUUUUGUUUCAAAAUCACAUUAGUGUGCAUAAUAAAAAUGUGGUGCCAGAGAUAGCCAAAAUAAGGCAAAACUUGAUUGAAUAACACUCAGUUUGAUCACUAUUCAUUUUAACCUUCCGUGUACAAAAUAGCUUAGUCUCCUUCAAGUGUACUAACUAUAGCAGUAAAGUAUUUAGCUGGUCCUUCUAACAUCACCAAGACAUAAUAUUACUAUCAGACCUGAAGUGACAAAUCAAUUUCACUGCCAAGAUUUUGUUUCAAAAUCACAUUAGUGUUUUGUUCUUUUCAAAGCCAUAUUAAUAUUGUUGAAAAGGGCAACAACAAAUAACAUGGAUUGCUUUUAUUAAAAAAGAAAAUUGAAGGCUUCAAAACUGUUUUUUUUUUUGAUAACUGAGAAAUUUGUCUGUGACCCGCCCUUUGGACCAAUCACAGCCUUCUAAACUCGGUGGAUAAUGGGCCCGCCCCUCUACCCUUCUCCACUUAAAUACCAGGCUUUGCUUUGCAUGGUGUGGGGCUUGAACCUGCGACCUAAGCCACAAAUCUUCCACCUUUUGCCACUUGAGCUAGGCCUUGGGGGCGCUUCAAAGCUGUUAUAAGUUUCAAAUCUAGAAAAACCAACUGCACAACCCCAAGGAUAACAUUCAUGGCACUAUGGAAAGGCUGACUAAAAUUUUAACUUGGAUUUUUUGUGCAAUCCUUUUGAUAGUUGUAAGUAAAUGCAAAUUCAAAUAUUCAGUUUCAUCAUAAAGCUAUGCCAAUUGUUUCAAAUCUGAAAUUUAGGAUGUCCAGCAGAGAUUUACACACUUACGUUUUAGCAGCCUGUCUGCCCUUCCCAAUAGCAGCACCGAAGUACCUCUACAACAAACAACAGAACACAUCAACCACUAAAAUAAGUUCAAUUAUUAAGGGUCAGUGCAAAGCAAGGAAACAGAGAUUAUAAGAAAAUAUAAUAGCACGCUGCAUGGUGCAAAAUGUAGCAGUUAAAUAAUGAUUCCACUCACAUAGGAGACACCAGAUGGCUCAACCAUGUAGAGUUGAGGUCCAUCUCUAUCAUAGCCUCCAAGGAUUACCCCAGAUCCGAAAGGCCUACAACAAGUAAUACUCCAGUUCAGGUACAGAAAGCAAGUUAAUGAAAGAAAAUGAGGGUAUCAAAACAGCAACAUAUGUUCCAACAAACCUGAGCCACCAGUAAAGUGUGCAUAAAUGUACAUAACUAGCAACACGUUCUGCAAGUUCUUUCACUGGAAUCGGUUCACCAUAUACACUACAAAUGACAAACCCAGUCAAUGGAAGAGUCAAAAUUAGGGUGGUGGUAUAGGAUGAUGUGCAACAACAAUUUUCAAAUGUUGAGCGGAGUAAACAGGAGUUCUUUCAUCAUGAAUACUAAACUAUAGGAGACAGAUAAUGUGCAAGAAGCAAACCUUUCAAAGCUGGUUGCUUCAGACUUUGCACGGGCAACAAUUUGCCUCCCAUCAGCAGCCAGCCCUGCAACAGCCUGUACGUAAAGAAAAAUCAGCAAAUAGAAUGCAUCAUCACCCAAGAAUCAUCCAACAGAGCAUUGGUUCAAAACUUUACCAGUUCCAUAGGUCCAUUUCAACUUCAAUUGAUAAUUUAUGAUGUUUCUACAAGUUUAUACCUCUAACAACUUACUAAACAGUAGCAUCACUCGACUCUUAUCAGUUAUCACUACAAACCAUCUUAACUUAAUUUUCACGAACAAACGCCAUUCAAAAUGAAAAAUGUGACGGACUAAACCUUUCCACAGUAUUAGUCUGAUGCUAUAGAACGUAGACACAGAAAUCUUUCAUCUUCUUAGCCAAACACUUGACAAAGUUAAACCAGAACCAUCAUCAAACAAAUCUAGUAGGAGAGUUGAACCGUUGAAGAAUAUCUAACUUAAGAGAACCUCAAUUUGUCUUCAAAGAUAAAUAAUUACUUAUUGGAAUGAAAAGAACCCAAAUUGAGCAAAAUGGAUGUAGAGGAUUCAUACAGCAGACCUAGUCCAAAAGUAAUAAAGCCUAACGGUUUAAUUCCUUUUGUUUCUUUCAAAUUAAGGCAGUGUCCAAGCAAGCCUACUCACACUUCAACUAACCCACAGAUAUCUAUUAUCAAACUAUAUUCACCAAGGCUUCUGCAAAAUGAGAAGAAUUGAGCUAAUGUCACCCUUAAGAGCUCACACAUAGUAUAGUAGCUGUUGUACUAGUAGUUGCAUUGUCAGCCAAAAAAAGUGCUCAUCUCCUCCUCAAAUGUGAAAAUUUUAAUAAAAUUUCCAAUCAAUUAAUGCAAAUAUCAUAUGGAACAGUAGCUAAUAAAUCAGUGACACUAGCAUCAGUAGUUUGAGCAUAAACUAUUACCAUGCCAGAAUGACGAUGAACAGAGUGAAUCCGACGAUUAGAUCCCGGUAACAUCAUUUUCGACGCAAUCAGCUUCUCAACUCCCUACAAUUUCAAAAUUCCCCAAAAUCAAUUAACAAAAAAAUUAAACCCUAAACACAAAAACCCUAACAUUAACAACACUAACAAACAAACAAAACAAGAAAAAUACCAAUACGAUUCCAUCCUUGCACUUGAUUCCAACAACAGUACCACUAUUAUCAACAGCUUUUCCGGCGUACUCGAUCUGAAAAACUCUGCCGUCCGGCGAGAAUGUCGUCACCGAUAGGUCAUAACCGGUUCCAAUGCUGCUCAUUUUCUACGUUUCGAUCCUCUUCGCUGUUUCCACUAUAGAUUUUCAAUUUUGAGUUCAAAGCUUUCUGAAGAAUGAAACGACGGAAUAUACAGAAGAAGAAGAAGAAAAUGGAGUUUUCUUUUUCGACAAGACAGAAAAGAGGGGAAUUAAUUUUAUUAAAAUUUCUUAUUGGGGAAUAGAAUUCAAAUAUUUUCACCUAUGGGGAACUGUGCAACUCGAAAAUUUAGUAAGGCAGUCACAUAAGGCAUAAAACGCAUUUGCUGAAUGCGAUUUAUGCAUUGCAUUAUAAUUUUAUUUUAUUUUUAUUCAUUUUUAACCUUUAUUUUUUAUUUUUUUUCCACCUGUUAUUCGAUGCCCACAUUAUAAUUUUUUUUUUUGCACUUGAUAUUCGGAGCCCGCAUUAUAAAAAUAUUUUUUUAUAUUAUUCAUUUUUAACCUUUAUUUUUUAUUUUUUUGCACUUGAUAUUCGGAGCCCGCAUUAUAAAAAUAUUUUUUUAUAUUAUUCAUUUUUAACCUUUAUUUUUUAUUUUUUUCCCACAUGAUAUUCGGAGCCCGCAUUAUAAAAAUAUUUUUUUUAUAUUAUUCAUUUUUAACUUUUAUUUUUAUUUUUCCCCACCUGGUAUUCGGAGGCUGCAUUAUAAAAAUAUUUUUUUUAUAUUAUUCACUUUUAACCUUUAUUUUUUUAUUUUUUUUCCCACCUGAUAUUCGGAGCCCGCAUUAUAAAAAUAAUUUUUUAUAUUAUUCAUUUUUAACCUUUAUUUUUAUUUUUAUUUUUUCCCCAACUGGUAUUCGGAGCCUGCAUUAUAAAAAUAUUUUUUUAUAUUAUUCAUUUUUAACCUUUAUUUUUUUUUUCCACAUGGUAUUCCGAGCCCGCAUUAUAAAAAUAUUUUUUUAUAUUAUUCAUUUUUAACCUUUAUUUUUUAUUCUUUUCCCACCUGGUAUUCGGAUCCCACCUUGGAGCUCCGACUAAAUUCGGAUCGCGCACUGUAUGGCUCAUUCGGGAGUGGCGCUCCCAACAUGAUUUUCUCCAUACCCAGGGCUCAAACCCGAGAUAUAUGGUUAAGGGUGAAGCACUCUCACCAGUGUACCACAACCCAUGUUAGUUUAACCUUUAUUUUCUUGUGAUUUCAUGUAAUUAUUCGUUGUUGUUUUUUUCUUAUUUAUUUUAUAUAAAUCUCCACCAUUUAUAUCUACAUGGUUUUUUUGCGAUAAUACCAAAUGAAUGAUGAAAUAUUCAUGGGAUAUGAACAUAAUGAGAUAGUUACUAGUGAUAUCGACCAUGUUCAACUAUAUUAAAGAGUAGUAUACUGUAAUUCAUGUUCAAUUUUAUCUUUUUAUUGAACUAAAGUUCGAUCAAUAAAUGUUGUAUAAUUUUAAGAAUAGUGUUGUGUGGUGUAUUAUACUUUUGUUAGCUUAUUUGGUAAGAUUGUAUAAAUAAUUGGGGCAGUUUUGAUAGUUUUCACAAUUUAUGAGGUUUUUGUAUUUUUAACAAAUAAUACAACUUAAAAACUCAAAUUGUAUAUCCAAACAAAACUUCAACUUCAACUUCAACUUCAACUUUAUCUCGUAUGAUUUCAUAUCACUAUUUCAUCUCACAUGACUAAACGAACGCGUAAACUACAAUGAAUAAUGUUAUUGUUAUCAGAGUAGAAUCUCAUUGUUCAAUGAAAUUAUAAAUUCAUAUGGUUCGAAAAAAUAGAUGAAAAGGAUAUUAACACUAAUCCACUAAGUGUGUUUUUGCAAUGUGAUUAGAUUGUUGAUGCACAAUGCUGGUCCAUUUGAUAGGGGCUAAAAGUCCAAUAAGUGUUGGUUAUCCCACUAAUCCUCUAGAAAUAUGGUUAAAUAAUUAUGGGUGAAGUGUAUGGAUAUCUAGAAGGCGAAUUUCUUGCUUGUGCUGAUAAGGAGUUUCGAAUUUGAGACCUCCAACAUGGAAGUUUCAAGCCCGAAUUUAUGAGUCAUUCCGAAGGGUAGCAUCUGUCUAUUUUUAAAAAUAGUUUUUGAGUAUAUUCACUUCGAGAUAAUUUUAGAUAUAUGAAUCUGAAAUUAAUCUUCACAAAGUACUAUAACUAAAGUUCAAUUAUUUCUUCUUAAACUUUAACUAUAUGACUAUAGUUCAAUCAUUUUUGUCUGAACUUCAAUCACAUUAAACUUUAAAUUUGGAUUUUGUCAAACAUAACUUCAAACACAAUAAAUAUGAAGUGGAAUAUAUGCGCUCUCCUCUCUCUUUUAUAAAAAUAUUAAUAAAAAUUAUAAUUAGACAAAUUAUAUUAUAGCUAUUUAUGAAAAUUUCUUUUAUAUUUUUUUACUUACACAAUCGUGACUCAAAAUAUUAAUAAGGUAAUAUAAAAUUUCUCGAUCUUCCAAAAAGAGGCGGUGGAGAGGGGAAGCCAAGACAUAGUUGAUGAGAGUGACUAAUGGAUCCUCUCUAGAAUAAAACAAAUUAUAUAAAGCUACAACAAAUGAAAGUUGCGUUGAUUUCUUGUCAAAUAAUAAUAAACCAAACACAAGAAAUGACAAAAAAUAAAAUAUAAGAUAAGCACCUCUAUUUUGUCUUAGAGUAAACGUAAACACACAUUAUCUAAAAAUGAUUACAUUAAGGAUAAGAUGUUCCUUUCCAAAAAAAAUUCAAAAAAAAUGUAUAAGAUGUGAUAUAUAUAAAUCAUACUUGACCAAAACUUUAAAUAUAUACAACUUUAAUUUUGAGUCCAUCAGAAUUUACUUUAUAUUUUUUAAAGAAUUUAAUCUCCUUGUAAUUUCUAAAAUAUUGAACUAUAUUUUAAAAAUUGAUGCUCAAAUUCGAAACAAGAUAAAUAUGACGCCUUUACAAAAAUUCAUGAAUGAAAAAAUUAAUCAAUCAUUCUUGAAAUAAUCGACAAUGAUGGUAUCACAUAGAUUGUAAUCUUCUCAACAUUUUAAAGUUAAUAUAAAAAUAUGUUUCUAUAAACUAAAUAAAUUCUUGUCUUUACUCUUAUAUUGCUACACUUUGUUUAGAAAAUAUUAUAGAAAUUCUCUACCAAUCAAUCAAAUAGCUUAUAUUAUGAUAUUAAACACAAAUUUGCACAUCCAUUUUGAUAAAUUAGUUUGAACAAUUCCAACCUUAUUUUCAAUAAAUUGUCAUACGUAAGAUCAAUUUUUCUUCACUAGUUUAGUAUUAAUUAGUAAUAAUUCUUAAGGGAUAAGGUAGGCAUGAGUUAUGAGUUAUGACAAUUGACUAGUUAAUAUUUUUUCUUCUAACAAAGAAAAAUAAUAUUCCUAAGCAUGGCUUUAAUUAUAAAAGAAUCAUAAAUCUUUUAGUCUAGAUAAAAAUAUUAAGUGAUUUUUUUUUAUUUGUCUUAAUUUUGAUGGAUAGGGUUAUUUGAUAUUUGUUAUUGAUGGGAGAUGAUAUGUAUUUUAUAAAGUUAAUCGAAAUGUGUGUAAGCUGAUCAUAAUAUUAAAAAAAAAUAUUAUUUGUUUUCUCAUAAUUUUAUUUAUGUAUCUCAUGUAACAUAUUGAUGGUGUUCCUAGAAUGUACGUAAAUACUUCCAAUGCUCCAAUAUUUUAUUUUAAAUGGAUAAAGAAUAGUAGUUGAGAAGAAAGUGGAUAAAAUUUCUAUGUUAGGUAUUUGGUGGACAUGAUUUAUGAAUGAAGUGGACUUAGCAAUUAAAGUGUACGUUUUAUGUUUAUAAUGCUGUCAUAAACUCUUUAUAUUCUAAUUCAUUUAUAUAAAAGAAAUUAUUUAUAUUCUAUAAUAAAAGGAAAAUGGCAAGAGAAGUCAUAUUGAUGUUAUCACCUUUGUAAUUUAGAUAAUAUAUGAGUGGUUUAAAGUUUCUAAUAACUUUCAAAAAAAAUUAUAAGUUCACUUGGUGUAAAAUUAGCAAAUAGAUAAUUUGGUAGGAUAAAAUCUAUUUAUUAUUUACAAUAAGUAUUGAGUUCAGUCUUAUAAAUUAUUAUUUGUUUGAUAAAAAGUGCUUGUUUUUUAUGCAAAUUGGAGUGUUUACGGAUCGAUUUGAAAUCUUCUUGAGAAAAAAUGCUUAUUUGUUUUCAUAGAUAAAUUGAAAGGAAAUUUCUAACAAAGAAAUCUUUUCUAUAAAAAUAAUAAUCUUGGAUCAGGGCUAUCGACAUGACAAUGCUUUAUUGGUUUAUUUAGUGGAUCAUCGUUCUAAAUAUAAGAUUAUAUUCAGCAAUAACUUUGAGAAAAAUAGUAUUUAAUACAUAUUAUUUUUUAUAUAUAAUGACUGGUAUCAUGCUAUAUUAUGUCUGAAUGAGUUCAAAUUAAAAACAGAAGAAGAGAGUUAACUUUCUGUUAAGUACGUCUAAACACGAAGGGAUACACAAAAAUCAAGUCGAAGUUAUAUUUCAACUUCUAUGAGCAACAUUCUAAGACUGAUUUAUCCAUAGAUUUUGUUUUAAAAACUUAAAAUAAUAUUCAAAAUUUAUUUUAUAAAAAUAUUUGCUUAUUAAAUAAUCUAUUAUUUCAACUUCAAAUUUCAAAAAAAUUAAGUUUUAGAAAAUUUGACAACAAAAAAAAACUCAUAAACUAUUCAUCUAACAAUAAAAGUACAUGUGAGUCACUUUUGUAACGUAAGGAAUAACAUGUGAACCAUUUUUAUAAUAUCAGGAGAUACGUGAUAUCAACGUUAAAUACUAAAGGUAAGAGGUUAUAACAAACUUUUUUCCCUUUUUGAAUUUUUGACAAUUUCAAUAAAUACGAAUUUGAAUUAGUCAGAUCAGCGUAAAUAUUGUAGUAAUUAGGGAUAAGAGGAUUGGCCCCCUUACUCUGCCACUCCAAGAAAACAAAAUGUAUACGUGACAAAUCUUUUGCUUUACUUUUUCACCUUCUCUUCUUCAAGCAACUCUUUUUCUUCCUCUUCAACAAUCCCCACCAUCUUGGUCUAUAUAUAUAUACAGUUAUAUACACACAAAUAUACAAAAAUAUCUAAGUCAUUACCCAUAACAAGACGUGCAGCAGUGAAAAGAGUGAGCUCACUGUGUAACAAACUCAAUUUGUGAGUUUGUUCUUCUCUGCAAUCUUUUAAUACGUCAGAAUCACGGAUACCCAGAAGGAUAUUUUGUGCGGUGGAUCAUUUUCAGGUAAUAAAAAAGUGAUCUUGAUUGAAGUUUUCAGAAAUUUUAGUUUUGAUUAUUGUAGAGUGUUGAUUUUUGUUCAGUUUUAUGAGUUUUUGAUUGUGGGUAUUUUGUGAUUGGGGCAGAAAUCUUGUUUAUCAGUCGAAAGAUGAAUACUUUUGAACUUUAUAGCUGGGGUUGUCCUUGUAAUUCAGAUUAAAUAAGAUAAAUGAAAUAAAUUGUUUUCCCUUGUUUGGGUUGAAUGGUAAAUGAACAACAACAUAUUGAGUGUAGUCUCAAGAGGGUGACAUGUAUGGAGACCUUACCUAGGGGUGGAGCUGCGUAUGGCAGCCCUUUAGCGGAAAAUUACAGUGUUUAUACAUGGUUAAUAGUAUUUGUUAUGUGUAAAUAGUGGAUGUUGACCCUCAUUCAUCUUAUUCGUGUGUUUAGUUCUUAAUAUUUUGAACCCCUUAUUGUGAAAAUCUGGGCUCCGCCAUUGACCUUACCCCCACCUUUACUGGUAGAGAGACAGUUUCGAUAGACCCUUGAUUCCAAUAAUGUCUAUGUUCAGGUUCAAAAUAUGGAGAAGUAAACACAUAAAGAAGUCAAAGAAUUUAAUAUUUACCAUAGUCCAUAUAUACAUAAAACUAAUUUCAACCUUGAAUAUACUGUGUAAUUUUCAAACGAAGGGGUUUUGGAUGAACCCCUUGCUCCCACUUGGCUCUGCUCUUGUCCAUGCUGUAUAAUAUAUACAUUACUUAAUCCUAUUUUAUUUAUUUAAUAUUAUGAGAUUAAAACUAAUUAUACACUAGUGUUUUAAAAAUUAGAAAUAGGAUUAUAAUCAAGUUUAAUAAUUUAAAACAAAGAACAAUUUAGAAGAUAGUUUAAGCUAAGUUAUAUUAAAUGAGGUGAAUGAAUAGAUCAAAUUUUACGUUCCUCUUCUAAACAUGAUUUUUUUUUUGUUUUAAAUGCCUAAUAUUACAAAUUUUACUAGAAACAAAGGAGAGAUAACAAGUAAUGGAUGGUUAAUUAACAAGUAUUAGUAUAAAGGUUAUUCAAUUGUCAAUGUUUUCUUUUGUAGGUAUUACUGAGACACUAUGUAUAUUGUUAAUCCAUAUUGAACUCAGGAAUAAAAGUAUAAAAUAGAACAGGAAUUACAGCAUAAAAAAUGCAAAUUCUACUGAUAUGGAAAGAAACAAUGCUGCCAAGCUCCUGACUAUUAAUGCACAGUUCUUGACCCUUUCUAUCGUAACAUGCAUUUCCAUCUGUGUCGCAAUUGAUUCAAUAGGCUAUGUACCCAGUGCACUGAGAACUGCCUUCGGUCCCCAAACUUACUAACUCAUGGCAACCUUGUGGCAGCCCAACAACUUAUAAGUGCUAGUGACUGGCUGAUUUCCAGUAUUAUAAGCAAAUGACUUAUAUGUGACCUCAAGAAGGAAAGAUUAUAAUCAAAUGACUUAUAUGUGGCCUCGAGAAGAAAAACCUCAUUUUUCUAUUGACUUUCUGCCUUUCCAAACAAAGCCUAAACUUUGAAAUACCUUCAUGUUUUUUUUUUUUUUCUCUAGUUUCCAAACACGGUUAAUUGUACUGCUUUGUGGGGAGGGGAAAUUGUAAUUGUCCUUAGUGGAUAGUGGUUGCAUUCUCAUGGCCAAUCCCAAGUUGCAUUUUUUACUUGUUGGUUCUGUGUUUGUUUGCAAGUGGCUUUGUUUUUGCAAAAGUGCAAAUCAAGUGGUCAUGCUAUGUUAUGCUUUCACUUUAUGCAUAUGGCUUGUUUCCUCUCGAUACAAUGUGUUUGAGAGGCCUUCAUGUAGUAGUUAAAAAGUUAGUUGGUAAAAACAUCUCUGAUAUUUUCAUAUCAUGGAUCUACUGUUUUUCAAAUUUUGCGUUGGCUAUUAAUCUCAACUAUUUUUGCUUGACACUAGAAUAUAGUAGUAUGAUCACUUUGCUAUUCGGUCAUAAUUAAAGUUAAGGGAGGUAAGAUAAAAAAAAUAUAAAAUAUGAAAAGGAGCAGAAGUGUUAAACUAGUAACCUGACCAGAUUGCCUGCCAUUUUUAAAUUCAACAAUUUGGUAUAUCAUAAUUUUCCUGUACUUUGAGCCAUUGUGUCUUUCAUCUCCUUGUGAAUUCAGCUUAACGAAUUUAAUUUAUAUCCUGGAUUUGGCCAUUUUAUCAUUCUUCAGGUUUCAUCUUCUAUUAAUUUAAUCUGUCAAAGAUUGUCCAGUGAUUGGAUGCUUUUGGAACUAAUUUAUGAGUCAAAUAGACAUAAUAUCUGCACUACAAGUUAAAAAAGUUGUAUUCCUUGAUUCUAUCACUAUCGUGCUAGUAUAAGCAGAAAAAUCUGUCAAGCUUAUCUUAUUGUUAUUAGUUCAGACAAUCAUCUUUUCGGUUCUGUCCCAUGCUGACAUUAGGUUGUUGUAAAAGGAAGCAACUUUACAGCUUUAUACUUCCAUUAAUGAUCAAAAUUUAACUGAAUUUGCUCCUCUUUCAGAGCUUAAAUAGGCUACAGGCCUACAGCAACAACGAAUAGACCAAGAAGGAAGAUGGAGUCAAGGCAUUCCAUUCAUCACGUACUGCUUUUAGUUUUGUGUGGUCUGUCUGCCCUGUGCCAAUGCUCGGCUAUUGGGGUUGAAGCAAACCAGACAGCAGUACUGCUUGUGAAUGCAUCCGAAGCAUCAGCAAGGAAAAUACCUGAUACCCUUUUUGGUAUAUUCUUUGAGGUGAGUUUAGUAUUUGGGUGCUCAAUUUGUGGUGCAAAUGAGAAGCAUUUACCUUCCAGUUUACAGUAUGUAACUCAUCUCAUAUAUUUUGUGUUUAAUUUGUUUGUCCUGUCUUUUUUGUUCAAACUCUUUAUAUACCUGAUAACUAUUGCAGCAUAUGAUACGCAUAAACUUCUGCUUUUCGAAACUACCUCUAGGAUAUGUUUUUACUAGUUCAUUCCACCAAGCUGAAAUUCACAUUCUCAUUCCUCAUAAAAGUUUCCUGUUUGAACUAAAGGAGGAAUAAGGAUAAUAAAAUAAAGGACAUUCUAUAGUUUACAUCUGUCAAUAAUAUGAGACCAGACAAUGGACAUUUGAUAAGUGCUGCUGAUGCCUAAUCUUAUGAAUCAUCAACGUUUUCCGAAUAUCUGGCUGGAAAAGAGUGAUCAUACCUUGACCUUUUACAGAUGAAUUGGACUUAAUUUUCCAUGAUAUUGGAUACAGGCAAUUAAUUUUAGUUCAUGACCUGAAAUAUUGUAUUUCAGGAGAUCAAUCAUGCUGGUGCUGGUGGACUGUGGGCUGAGCUCGUCAACAAUAGAGGUCAGUUUGAUUUUAUGGUUUCUUUAGAAAAGGAAGUCUUUAAAAAGAAAUAAAAACAUGCAUUGCUUCCUAGUGAUUGACUGCUAAUUGAGUUUUUUGGCCUAAAAAAAGAAAGGAAAAGAAAUGGAAGAGCAAGACUCAUAUAUUGGAAAGGAUGAACUAGUUACAUUUGGGUUGCCCAAGCAGAAAAAUGGAGACAACCAUAGCAUGAUUUUGUGCCGUCUUGUCUCUUGGAUAGUCAUUAUUACUUUUCCCUUUCAAACUUAUCUUCAAAGAUGAAUAUUAACUUGGGCGUUUUAUAUUCUGUAUGCUACUAUGGUCCAAGAGGUUGUUUUUUGACUGAUAAGAGUACUAUGAUGAAUAAAUUGAUAAGGCAAAUAAUGCGAGAUUGCUAUCUCUAUUCUUGUAACAAGAGUUUUGCUUCCUAUAUAUUCUUGAAUUCUAUUUUUUUUAAGUGCUAGUUUUCUUGAAACCUCAGGUUUUGAAGCUGGAGGCCCAAACGUACCUUCAAAUAUUGAUCCUUGGUCUAUAAUUGGAGACGAGUCCAAAGUGAUUGUAUCAACAGACCGUUCAUCAUGCUUUGAUCGGAAUAAAAUUGCAGUUCAAGUGCAGGUGCUCUGUGACCAUACAGGUGCCAAUAUCUGUCCAGAUGGAGGAGUUGGCAUCUACAACCCGGGAUUCUGGGGCAUGGUAUGUUGCUCUUUAAUGCUCGACUGAACAUUCUUUAUGUGUUUCUUGCUUCCUCUCUCAAGGAUUCACCUUUCAAUAUUCCGCAAUACCAAAAGCACACUAGAUUUUCUUCAUUUGUAUCCUUAAGUCUUAUUUAGAUUUCAAUCAAACUAGAUACUGAUCUACUCUUCCUUCUUUGUGUAUUUCGGUGCAUGUUCUGUAUUUAUCAUCCUCAUUUUAUGUUUUCUUGCAGAAUAUUGAGCAGGGAAAGAGCUACAAACUAGUGCUUUAUGUUCGUUCCCAAGAAUCAAUCAAUGUAUCUGUAGCUUUAACUGGUUCAAAUGGAUCGCAAAAGCUGGCUGCUGCCAACAUAGUGUAAGUAGAUGUCUAGCCGGCUUUAUUUUUCAUGCUUUAAAAAGUUUGCUUCUUUCACACAAUUCAUUCAAGAUGCUCUUUGCAGAGCUGCUGAUGUUUCGAGUUGGACAAAGGUGGAAAUUUUGUUAGAAGCAACAGGAACAGAUCCCAAUUCAAGACUGGAAUUGAGAUCAUCGAAGAAAGGUGUUAUUUGGUUUGAUCAAGUCUCAUUAAUGCCUACUGACACAUACAAGGUGAGUGGUUUAGAGCUUUCUUGUAGGCAUUUAGAAAAGACUCAUAGUUAAUCAAGGAGAGGGUGGUUUUAGUGCAGUUGGCUGACUUAAUGACAUGUUUCCUGAGCCAAGGCUUCUAAAGGGCUCAUGAAUUCUCUUCUUGUUUAUUACAUACAAAAUGUGUAGCCAGUUUCAGCUCUACAUCUUUAGAAUUAGAUACCAAAAUAUAAUUACAUCUGUGCAGUAUGGUUAAAUGCAUCUGUUGUGAUAUCGCUAGGUUUUGUAUCAAACAAUAGACUAUACCAUAAUCCCAAAUAAACUGCUAUAUGAAUCCUCUAAAUCAAUUUUUCGAGGACGUUAUUAAUUUUAACAUUUGGGAAACAUAAGUACUUGUUGACCAUAUAAGCAUGAUUAACUAAUAAUAUGUAAAAUUUGUCAAUGUAGAUAAAGUUUAAAAAUUAUUGCGACUGUUUUUUUCUUCUCAUUACUUGUCUGUACAUAUCCAACAAUUCUGUAUUACUCUAGCUAUCCUAUUUUGGCCAAGGAGCAUGAUUUUAUUUCCAAUUAUUUUCUUUCUCAUUUUUCAUUUUUGUAGGGGCAUUAGAUGUAUUCAUUUAAUGAAUGUUAUUCUUGGCACAGGGGCAUGGCUUCAGGAAAGAUCUCUUUGGAAUGCUUAAGGAUUUGAAACCAGCAUUCAUUAGAUUUCCAGGUAUUCUCCAAUAUAUUUUAACUUUUUCCUUGAGGAUCAUGUAACUUUACCAACUGAUGGACUGGGACAUCUUUUAGUAUUUUAUACCUGCUAUAUUAUAAACCUUUUCAUGCGAUCCCUCUUGAUGAGGAAGAAGAGUAUCAGUAGAGAGCGAAAAUUCAUGAGUAAAUUGGAAACAAAAAGUACAACAAAAAGAAUGGUUUGCACAAAGAAGCUUAAGAAAGCCACAGGUGGCCAGCUACUACUUAAAGAUAGAAAGAAGCUGAAAUACAACUGUGUUAUGUAUUACUGGAAAUUAUGCUCGCAGGAGUUCAACUCCCAUAUUAUCUCAGUGGUGAUAGUUCUUAGAUCAGACUUGAAAUACUUUAUCUAAACACUUAGAUCUAAGAACUUCACCCUUGAGGAAAUACGAGAGACGAGGUUAUCAAAGAGAUAAUAUGGGAGAUGAACAUCUAGAUGUAGGAUUAAUAUCAGAAACUGUUCAAACUUCAAAGUUUAUUUCAUUUUUUAAUUUUCAAUUCAGUGAGAAAGUAAUAAAGUUAUCUUUUCAUCAGAGUUCUACUUGUAAUUUCUCAGCAUAGUAACAUGUUUCAUACACAGGGGCAGGGGUAGGAUCAAGGAACUUAACUUGAAAUUCAAACUUUCUGAUUUAUCUAUUCUUUUCAUGUUUGCUUUGAUUCUUUGAAAAAGUCAAAUCUCCUCUUUCUUAUCUGUUUACUUUCUAUUUGAGCACUUUUAGAAUUUCAAACAACUAGUUUAUACAGUGUUGGCUAGGCAAAGAGAAUAAAUAUUAGAAAUAUAGUAAAAAGUCUUCAUCAAUUAGAGGACUUAUUCUUCCAAGAUUCUGCUGUGUGUCCUCUUUUACCGGUUUCUUUCAUUUUUUCCUGUGUGUCCCCCUAUCGGUCGGUAUGUACUAUUUGAGCUUCUCAAUGGUCAAUUGUCCAAUGUUGAUAAACCUUCACAUUAUCUGUCUGUAGGUGGAUGUUUUGUUGAAGGUGACUGGUUAAGAAAUGCAUUUCGGUGGAAAGAAACUAUUGGACAAUGGGAAGAGAGGCCCGGACAUUUCGGUGAUGUUUGGAAUUACUGGACUGAUGAUGGACUUGGACAUUUUGAGUUCCUGCAGGUAAUAUUCUAUGUUCCCCAACUUUGUUGCAAAUGUAUUUGAAACACCUGGCUAGUCAGUCAUGCUAACACAUACAAGCACCAAAAAAAACAACAACAGUUGCACGCACUUGAUGUAAACAAUUGUAUACUUCUGAUUUUGAACGAAUCCACUCCAUUUUCUGCAGCUUGCCGAGGACUUAGAUUCAUUGCCAGUGUGGGUUUUCAACAAUGGUAGUUCCUGCACCUCCACAAUUGCACUAUUCUCUUUCUUUUGCUCUAUUUAGUCCAUUUAAUUAAUUUAAACUUCUUCCUUUUGUGCUUCUUAAUUUUCAGGAGUCAGUCACCAUGAUCAAGUUGACACUACCAGUAUUUUACCUUUUGUGCAAGUAGGUUUAUUGAAUUUUUGGCUCAUUGAAUAUGAUCUAGUGCUUUAAUGUGAUAAAUGUUCUUUAAAUUUUAUGUAGUUUCAUGAAUGUUUCUCUUUUUUGUCAGCUGCGAGUUGUCUUUUUCUUCACAGAAUCUUAGGCAAUAAAAAUUCACAUCACUAAAAGCUUCAUUUUUAAUGGCCAUUAUUCCUAACUGAAACUUUUCUCGGCUUGUGCAUUAGUAGAUUAUGUUAACAUUCAUUGUGUUACCGAUUCAAGUUACCAAAGUAAUCAACGUUUCGAAAGCAGUAAAUUGGUCAAGAAAAUAAAAUUAGCAGUGGAUAUUUCCCAACACUCUAUUGAUUCCCUCUCUGUAGCAACAAUUUGUCUUCAUUCGUUCCUUGUUACAUUACAUUCUUACAAAUAUAUUUUGUCUCUAUCCAGGAAAUAUUAGAUGGUCUUGAGUUUGCAAGAGGUGAUCCUACUUCAACAUGGGGUUCUAUUCGAGCCAAAAUGGGACAUCCAGAGCCUUUUGAUUUGAGAUAUGUGGCUAUCGGAAAUGAGGAUUGUGGAAAGACAAAAUACCGUGGUAUGCUUGCUUUACUCUAUUUGGCAGAUGAUAUAUUGUUGUUUGGUUCACAGGAAACUUAUUAUAGUGCACUAAGGAUUUAUAUGUUGCAUAACUGUCUGGUGUACAUUUUGAUUUAUUGUGUCCUCAUAAAGUUGCACAUCUCAUCACCUUUACCAUAAUUUGACCCGGGAAUUAAACCUGGCAUCCAUUACGUAUGACAUGAAGUGUCUCUCUUCCCCGUUCCUCUGGAUGAGUGUGGGGUGCAUAAGGAAGCAGUAGAUUUGGUGUCUUUAUGCCAAUAUGAAUUUAAAGUUUGAUGAUGCAGAUUAAAGAUCUUCAUUGUUUCUACUGUACCUCUGGCCCUUCAUGCCCCGUUCUGUCUGUCUGUCUGUCUUGUACUUCAGUAAUCAGUGGUUUUGCGAAAACUUUUGUCAGAUAUCUUUAGGUGUCAGGAAAAAAAUCAAAAUAUCUCUUGAAAGUUUGUGCUAUUGAUAGCUGAGGCUAGUCCAUAGAGACUCCAAUGACAUUAUUUUCUUUUAUUUGUCCAGAUACA